RNAcentral lists this long non-coding RNA (75520 nucleotides) under Hordeum vulgare. RNAcentral describes it as "long non-coding RNA (HVUL_LNC013953)". The stretch from base 66108 to 66231 matches the Rfam family "MIR1120/MIR1122 microRNA precursor family". Lineage: Eukaryota; Viridiplantae; Streptophyta; Magnoliopsida; Poales; Poaceae. The record is from RNAcentral.
UCCACACAGAUCGACACCACAAGCCCUCAUCCUCCGCUGCCCAUCUGCCAAAGCAAACAAGAACACACAAGACAGUUCAGGCAGGCAUGGAUGCAGAGUUCACCUGAGUUGGGAGGGACUGACUAGCCAACCAUGCAAAUGCAAGCAGGGCGGAGAAUUAGUAGCCGAUGUCGGCGCCGUCGUCGACCAAGGUCGCCGUUGAUGCCGGGGAUAGGUAUCGAUCACACGGUGUUAUGGGCCCUGGUCAAGAUCGCAGGAGGAGACGCUUCAAUCUGGCGAGAUCCCGGCUCUCGUUGCUGCUCUCUCGGAGGUGGAUCUCAUCUGGGAUAAUAUAUAUGGCAGAAUUUCCAAGGAAAUGCACGGUUGCCUUGUCGGCUGAGUGUAACUUCCAGGUCGCAACCUUUGUACGAGCAGCCGAAUGAGCAGGAACGAGUACACAUCACAUUUUAUUGACUCAUGCGUGGGUGGUGUAAACAACGGAAAUGAUUUGCGUACGACGAUGCAUGUCCGAAGCACGUACGACGAUGCAUCCGCAUCGUGAGCUAGCUAACCCGUUGAAAGACAUACGGCUUGAUUUGAUGGUCGUACGUGGUUCGGAUGAGAAUCGUCGUACGUGUAGCACUGCUCAGUCUUGGGUGGUGUAAACAAAGUCUUCUUAGGGUAUGUACAAUGGUUGAUAAGAUAGUUUUAUUUCAAGUUUUACAUGUAAUUUAUAGAUGAUAAAAAAAGUCUUACAAUGAAUCACCUCUUAAUUGUUCUCUCUUAAAUAAGAAAAGACAAAUUUUUUUUAUGAGUUAUCUUUCCUCCACCUCAUCAUUUAUCUUACAUGACACUACUAAGAUAGCAUCAUUGUACAUGUCCUUAUGUGACAGGAAAAAAAAACCAACAGCCCUACCAGGAAAUAAAACAAACGUGUGAAGCACGUGUUGUGCAUGAGAGUGAUUUUGUUUUCUUAACUCAUGCCUUUUGGUUUAUUGCACUAUCUUUCUUUUAACACGCAAGCGUUUAUAUACACGUACAUAGACUGAGCCGGCAUAUCAUGAAAUUUAUGAAUAAAUUCAGAAAUAAAUGCGAACAUCAGGAUUUAAACCCUGAUGAGCUAUGAAUAUCACAAUCUCUCUAACCAUCCAACCACAGACUGGUUCGCAUUGUACUCUUCGUCGUACUAUCUUUUCAAUGUGUUACUUGUUGUCCUUAAUAAUUAUCAUAUCUAAGAUGCCCUUUGGGUGUGUUUCGUACUAUGAAAAAGGGUCCUGCAUGGAUAGAGAGAGCGUGUGCUGACGAGACAGCAUAAAAUGUUUCACCAGUUAGUUAAUAGAGUGUCACAUAAAUAAAAUACAUAGUCCGGGUAGGAAAAAUACUCCACGAUGCUUGAGUGCCCUUGACCAAAGCCUAGCGCCCUCGAUCGCCCCAUCCUUUCCUCCCUGGCUACUACCUCAGAUCACCGCCAAUCCGCAUGACUUCCAAGGACGACAGCGGCGAAGCUCCCUCCUUGAGCAACACCUUGGUACUUGUACGCCUCUUCCUACUGAGCGACGUCGUUGUGCUCUCCGUUGGUUCCUUGGUGGUUGCGUUUUUCUGUUGCCAUUUUUGUUGGCGAUGCUCCGCCCCUCCUUUGGACGGAGCAUUGCCAGUAUAUGGACUUUUUUUUAGAAUAACUGCAUAUUUUUUAACCAGCAAAUGUUACAAACAUAGCACAUACAUAACAUCGCUGAGAGAGCACGAGAGACCAAAGGUGUCCCAACACAAAUGCAAAAAGGUCUCAAAAAGGAGAAAAUACAAUCUGAACCCCCGGGGGCCUUAAUGCAUGAAGAACCAACACCAGUCGCUGACCGCCGCCAUCGACGACGAGACGAACGGCGAAGGAGGACGCCAGAAACCAUCAAACCCUGAGCCGAGGGCACACCAUCACUGAAAAGGGCUUUCUGAGUCGAAGAUGAGCCCGGUCGCAAACGGUGAGGCAUAGCCGUUGUGGCACGUCGACCGGGGAAAGUCCCCGUGCAAAUCCUCGGCUCCAGUUUCGGCACCUCCGUUGGACGAAGUCGAAGGAGAAUUACCAGAUCUACCGCCACAAACCACCACGAGAGUGUUGAGUCACCAAGUCUCUCGCCAACAGCCGCGGUCACCGCACGGGCCGGUGACCAACGCUGGCCCGAGCACUCCUAUACAAGACUCUGUCGGCUUCCCAUCGACACUGAAGAACGUGUCGAUGUGGCAGAGACGAAGCCGAGGGAACAAAACUCCCGAUGUCCCCUGCUUGACCAAAUCCGAGCACGCCAAGCCUGUCGCCGCACACGUCGGCCAGGCCAAACCUAACCUCACCGCCCAAGACGAGCGGCAGGAAUCUACGCCGAGCAGCGCCCGAGGAAACACCACCGAGACGGAGGCGGAACCGGAGGACAAAAGGCACGAGCUGGGCAGCCGUCGCCGCCUCGUCGACCCAGCCCCACCACCCAGAUAUCGCCAGCCACGCGAAACCUGCGAGCAGACCGAAGCUCCCAGCCUUCUCGCCCACCGCAACGCAUACCACCGCGUUGGGGAGAGAGCAGGGGCACCCUUAUUAGCCGCACUCGCCAUUCCCACCGGAGAUGCGAAAACGACCAGCCACCACCAAGCUACAAAGCCUACCUAGACUACACCUGUACAAGCCAUGCCCCCGGAUCCGACGACCCCAACCUGCACCGAAGAGCAUGAAGUCCCGGGGGAGAUGGCGUCGCCGGAUCCAAAGCCGGCAAAGGAGUCGCCUCUCACUAGUGGAAAACGGGCCUUUGGCCAGGACCCUUUAGUCCCGGCCUGCCUCUGGGCCGGGACUAAAGGCCCGGCCACGUCGCCCCAAUUCUCAAUGCCUCCCUCGAGGCUUUAGUCCCGGCCCGUAAGGAGCCUUUAGUCCCGGUUCAUGUUCCAAACCGGGACUAAAGGGCUACGCGGCGGGUAGUGGUGGUGGCAACCGUUCGUAUCCCCCUUUAGUCCCGGUUGGUGGCUCAACCCGGGACUAAAUCCCUAACCCGUGCCCUGCCGUAGUGGUGGUAACCGUUGGUAUACCUCUUUAGUCCCGGUUGGUGGCUCAACCCGGGACUAAAUCCCUAACACGUGGCCUGCCGUAGUGGUGGUAACCGUUGGUAUACCUCUUUAGUCCCGGUUGGUGGCUCACCCCGGGACUAAAUCCCUAACCCGUGCCCUGCCGUAGUGGUGGUAACCGUUGGUAUACCUCUUUAGUCCCGGUUGGUGGCUCAACCCGGGACUAAAGGCCCAAACGGUUUGCAUCCCGCGUCGUUUCGGGCGAUGAAAAGCACGAACCAAAGCAGAGUCGCCAUUUCUCUGUUUCUUCUUCUCUCUCGCUCUCGCUCUGUUCUUCUCCUCUCUUCUUCCAUCAUGCCAACUCGCUUUGGAGAGGUGCUCGCACAUGGCAAGACCAAGCUCGAUGUCGUGUACACGAACGAGAGCAGGGAGAUGCCGUAUUUUCUUGAACAGUUGAAGGAACGAUGGCUUGACGCCGCAAUGGAUCAUGAGAAGUUCUUGGGGCUUGAUCUGGAGUACACGGCCGAUCAACGCGGUGUUGCCGUCAUCCAACUAUGCUUCGCACACCAUGUCUUGAUCUUCCAAUGGGCGAGGUAAGUUUUGAGGCUUUCUUUGAUCCAAGGUAAUGACAUUGUAAGUUUAUUUGUUUCAAUCAUAGUUGGUUCCCUUCAAAUAGUUGUAGUGAAACAAUUUUGAUUAGUUGAAGGGGAACACAAUCUGAUUGGAAUAGUGUUCCAUAAUCUGAAAAAUCGUAUUAGAAUCAACUAGUGUUUAAUAUGUUCCAUUGGAAUCAUAGUUGGUUCGCUUCAAAUAGUUGUAGUGAAACAAUUUUGAUUAGUUGAAGGGAACACAAUCUGAUUGGAAUAGUGUUUCACAAUCUGAAAAAUCUGAUUGGUUCAAUAUGUUCCAUUGAAAUCAUAGUUGUAGUGAUACAAUUUUAUGCGGUGUUAUUUGAUCCAAGGUUAUGAAAAUUGCAUAUAGCUAGUGAUCUCUCUAGGUUCCAUUUGAUAGCAAUAUGAUAUGUCAUAGUCAUGAAAAUUGCAUAUAGCUAGUGAUCUCUCUAGGUUCCAUUGGAUAGCUAUAGUGAUCUCUCUAGGUUCCAUUGCAUAUGUUCUAUUUGAAUCCUAAAGAUAAUUUUCUCUUUAGUUGUAGUGAAACAUGUUUCCUUAUUGCAGCAGUAUGUAACAUUUUCCAUUUUAAUUUGUUUCUGUUGCAGUAGUGACAAGCAUUGUCCAGAACUCAUGGACUUCCUGCGCAGCGGCAUCACUUUUGCUACCGUUGACAUAACGAACGACAAGCUGAAGAUGAGGUACAGCUUCGGUAUUGAGAUACCAACUGGUUGCCUCAUUGAUCUCCAAACGGUAUUCAGGCUUCGACAUGUCAGGACUUCGAUGGCUCAUAUGGCAGUUGCCUUGAUCGACGAGGAAUAUGGUGAUAUGAAGACCAAUUUUCCCAAAGUCUCAGCACAAACUUUGGGAGAAGGCCCCACUUGAUCGUAUCAACAUUGAGUAUGCAACAAAAGAUGCAUACGUUUCAUACGAGUUGUACCGCAAGAUUCGAGUCGUCAACUAUGGCCAGCGUCACCUCGAAUAAGGUGGACAUUCUGAUUCGAGUCGUCAACUAUGAAAACUAAUUCCCGAACACCAAACGAGGCAUCACGUUAAUCUUCCGAACACCUAAACCCUAAAAUCCUAAAACCCAAAAAUAAUUUCAUUCAAAAAAAACCCAAAAAUAAGCAAAAUCUAAAACUCUUUAGUCCCGGUCCGUGUAACGAGCCGGGACUAAAGGGCCUGCCCCUGAGGCGCUACGAGGCGCCCACGUGGAGCAUCUUUAGUCCCGGCUUGUAACAGGGCCGGGACUAAAGGUUAGGCGUCCCGGUUGGUGAACCGGGACUAAAGUCCCUUACGGGCCGGGGCUAAAGGCCCCGUCUCCACUAGUGUCUGGCAGUAUAUGGACUUGUGGUAACCUUUGUUAGGACUUAGGUGCUCCAUCCCUGUUCCUCACCUCUCACCUGAUUUGGACGCCCACCGGUUUGGUCUGGCCUAGUAUCUUUUUCCAGUCAUUUCUCGGUUAGAUGCGGAAGAUUUGCCGCAUGAUCUAGCGAUUGCAUCUGACGUUUUUCUUGACUGGUGAUUAAAGUUGGUCGUUAAGGUCUUGUUGAACGUACGUGUGGACCAAAAUAUGUUUUUAUCUUUGUGACAAGUACAAUGACCGCUGUUGUAUUUAUCUCUCAUCUCAACCCUCAACUAAAUUCUAUGUGAAUUCCUAGUAUCUCUUGCAAUCCCUGGUAUCCAUCAAUUGGUUCUGUCGCGCUCCUAAGUUCUCCUUCCCUCUCCGAUCAUAUAUCUCUUUAGUCGAAUCAUGGCAAGGUCAUGUCAAGACCCAAAUGUUUUUUCAAAAAGAUAGUAUAAACACACACACUCACAUCCAUGAACGCACAUACGCACGUUCUAUUCCUAUAAGCACAUUUGAAAGGCUGAGCCGGCGGAUGUUAAGAUUGACAAAGUCACAACAAACGUCACAUCACUCUAUGGACAGAAACAUUGCCUCCCAUUGAGAGUACAUUUCGCGUUUAUCACACACCAAAGCAUCAACAUUUAAUUCCUUGUGUUAGGAAUUAAUUAAAUGUAUUAAUUAAUGGAAUAAUCCAUGCGUUGCCGGUUGCCUUGAUUUAGCAACCGUUCCUUGUAACCGACUCUGUACUCGGGGUAUAAAUACCCCGCAUCUUCAAUCAAUAAUAAUUGUUCCAUCAUUCUGUCACUUUCACUGUUUUACACGUUAUCAGCACUCGCUCUGCCGAGAGCGACAGAGAGCCACGAGAAAGGUCAGAAUGGCAGGAAGAGAGUUGUCUGCACUUGCUUUUGCUUUCGCACGCUUCCUGCAGAAAGAGAACACCCGCUUCCCUCGCACUCAGCGCCACCGCAUUGCACGUCGCCAUCAGGGUCUUGGUGCAAGGAAUGGCCCUCAUCGCCGUUCCUUCACCAGGAACCACCGCCAGAACCGGAGUGGCCCUCAUCGCCGCUUCUUCGCCGGGAACCACCGCCAGAACCACCGCCGUGGGUAUGCACGUCGAGGCAACCAACCACUUCGUGGGCGUGCACCAACGGUGCACCAGGCUGGAUCCUCGACUCCGGCCACCGCUCCACUACAACAGGCUGGUGUUGUAGAUAUGCCCUAGAGGCAAUAAUAAAUUAGUUAUUAUUAUAUUUCUUAGNNNNNNNNNNNNNNNNNNNNNNNNNNNNNNNNNNNNNNNNNNNNNNNNNNNNNNNNNNNNNNNNNNNNNNNNNNNNNNNNNNNNNNNNNNNNNNNNNNNNUGGAUAAUAAACUAUUAUCUUGAUACAGGAAUUAUAAUAAUAACUAUGCAUUUAUUAUUGCCUCUAGGGCAUAAUUCCAACAGUGCCUUCUAGUUGCACUGUCUGUACCCAGACAGUUUAUAACUCUUCCGCUGGCUUGUAUUUGUAUGACUGCUAUUAUGGGUCGAGAGACCUUAAUGUGUAAUAUUAUGUGUGUGGCUCUUNNNNNNNNNNNNNNNNNNNNNNNNNNNNNCUUCCGAGCCUCUUAAAUAAAGCUUGUAUGUUUAUGGUUAUGUUGUGAUGCCAUCGAUGUAUCUAUACAUAUCGGUAUGCCAUGCGUACGUGUGUCUUACUUGGUAUGUAUGGGGUUCGAAUACCUAGUCGUGAACUUUAGUAGCACUCCUUACAAGGAAAUGCCCCUUUGUGAUCCAACGAGCCUUGGUAGUUCGCUACUGCUCCGGACACAUUGGUUGACCGGCAUGUGUCCUUCUUAGCUGCUGUGUCUGUCCCCUUUGGGGAAAUUUCACGCGAUGUAAUGGAGUCCUUGUAGCUUGCUACGACUCGUCUACAUUCGCCGAUGACCGACACCUGCUUUGUUGGGUCAUGUAUGCCUGUCCUUGUGCGGUACUGCCACUUUGGUUUAUGACUAGACAUGUCGAUCCGGGUUCUUUGACAUUGGAUUGCUAGCGACACUAUCGCAUACGUGAGUCAAAAGACGCAAACGGUCCCGGCUAAGGUAAGGCUGCAGCCGUGGAGUUAACCGUGCGUGAGACCACAAAGGGAUGCGAUGUGUUACAGGCUAGAUUCCUAUGGCUUAGGAUCGAGGUCCCGACACUUUAAAAUAUCCAUUUGUACUUAACGGUCUUACGACCAUCAAGUAGUUCUUCCAAAGUCUACACUUUGUUUUCAUACAUGGAUCCUCUCUCGGAUUUCAUGGCCUCCAGCCAUUUAUCGGAAUUCGAGCCCACCAUCGCUUCUCCAUAGCUCGUAGGUUCAUUGUUGUUCAACAACAUGACCUCCAAGACAGGGUCACCGUACCACUCUGUAGCAGUACGCGACCUUGUCGACCUACGAGGUUUGUAGUAGCUUGAUCAGAAGCUUAAUGAUCACAAUCAUUAGUUUCCACUUCAAUUUGCGUAGGCGCCACAUGAACAAAUUCCUGCGCCCUGCUACACACUAGUUGAAGUGAUGGUUCAAUAACCUCAUCAAGUUCCACCAUCCUCCCACUCAGUUCUUUCGAGAGAAACUUUUCCUCGAGAAAGGACCCGUUUCUAGAAACAAACACUUUGCUUCCGGAUCUGAGAUAGGAGGUAUACCCAACUAUUUUGGGUGUCCUAUGAAGAUGCGUUUAUCCGCUCUGGGUUCGAGCUUAUCAUGCUGAAACUUUUCCACAUGAGCAUCGCAGCCCCAAACUUUUAAGAAACGACAGCUUAGGUUUCUCCAAACCAUAGUUCAUACGGUGUCAUCUCAACGGAAUUACGUGGUACCCUAUUUAAAGUGAAUGUGGUUGUCUCUAAUGCCUAACCCAAAACGAUAGUGGUAUUUCGAUAAGAGACAUCAUAGUAUGCACCAUAUCAAAUAGGGCGCGGCUAUGACAUUCAGACAAACCAUCACACUAUGGUGUUCUAGGUGGCAUGAACUGCAAAACAAUUUCCACAUUGUCUUAACCGUGUACCAAAACUCGCAGCUCAGAUAUUCAUCUCUAUGAUCAUAUCGUAGACAGUUUAUCCUCUUGUCACGAUGAUCUUCACUCUGGAAUAGCUUUGAACUUUUCAAUAUUUCAGACUUGUGAUUCAUCAAGUAAAUACUCAUGUAUCUACUCAAAUCAUCAGUGAAGUGAGAACAUAACGAUAUCCACUGCGUGCCUUAGCACUCAUUGGACUGCACAUAUCAAAAAUCUAUUGCAUCCAACAAGUUACUUUCUUGUUCCAUGUGGUAUGAUUUUGCAUGUCUCAAGUGAGUUAAAAUCAAGUGAUUCCAAACGAUCCAUCUGCAUGGAGUUUCUUCAUGCGUUUAUACCAACAGGUAUGGUUUCCAUGUCUCAAACGUUUCAAAAAUGAGUGAGUACAAAGAUCCAUAAGCAUGGAGUUUCUUCAUGCAUUUUACACCAACAUGACUCAAGCGGCAGUGCCACAAGUAAGUGGUUCUAUCAUUAUUACUUUGUAUCUUUUGGCACCACUAUUAUGAAUAUGUGUAACACUACGAUCGAGAUUCAAUAAAUCAUUGAAGGUAAUUAUUCAAGAAAAUAGAAUAACCAUUAUUCUCUUUAAAUGAAUAAUCGUAUUGCAAUAAACACGAUCCAAUCAUGUUCAUGCUCAAAGCAAACACCAAAUAACAAUUAUUUAGGUUUAACACCAAUCCCGAUGGUAGAGGGAGCGUGCGAUGUUUUGAUCACAUCAACCUUGGAAACACUUUCAACACGUAUCGUCACCUCGCCUUUAGCUAGUCUCCGUUUAUUUCGUAGCUUUUAUUUCGAGUUACCAAUCACUUAGCAACCGAACCGGUAUCUAAUACCCUCGUGCUACUAGGAGUACUAGUAAAGUACACAUCAAUAUCAUGUAUAUCAAAUAUACUUCUGUUGACUUCGCCAGCCUACUCAUCUACCAAGUAUAUAGGGUAGCUCCGCCUCAGUGACCGUUCACCUCAUAACAAAAGCACUUAAUCUCGGGUUUGGGUUCAAUCUUGGGUUUCUUCAUUAGAGCAGCAACUGGUUUGUCGUUUCAUGAAGUAUCUCUUCUAGCCCUUGCCCUUCUUGAAACUAGUGGUUUUACUAACCAUCAACAAUUGAUGCUCCUUCUUGAUUUCUACUUUCGUAGUGUCAAACAUUGUGAAUCGCUCAAGGAUCAUCAUAUAUAUCCUUGAUAUGUUAUAGUUCAUCACGAAGCUCUAGCAGCUUGGUGGCAGUGACUUUGGAGAACCAUCACUAUCUCAUCUGGAAGAUUAACUCCCACUUGAUUCAAGCGAUUGUUAUACUGAGCACAUGCUCAACGAUUGAGCUUUUCUCCUUUACUUUGUAGACAAAGAAUCUUGUUGGAGGUCUCAUACCUUUCAACAAGGGCACGAGCAUGAAAUCUCAAUUUCAUAUCUUAGAACAUCUUUUAUGUUCCGUGACGUUUCAAAAUGUCUUCGGCGUCUUGCAUCUAAGCCAUUAAGUAUUACGCACUGAACUAUCACGUAGUCAUGAAAAAUGUGUAUGUCAGAUGUUCGCAACAUCCACAGACGACGCUUGAGGUGCAGCACACCGAGUGGUGCAUUAAGGACAUAAGCCUUCUACGCAGCAAUGAGGACAAUCCUCAGUUUUACGUACUCAGUCCGCAAAGUUACUACUAUCAUCUUUCAACUAAAUUUUCUCUAGGAACAUAUAAAAAAACAGUAGAGCUAUAGCGCAAGCUACAUCAUAAUUCGCAAAGACCUUUUGACCAUGCUCAUGAUAAUUAGUUCAAUUAAUCAUAUUACUUAAGAACUCCCACUCAAAAAAUACAUCCCUCUAGUCAUUUCAGUGGUGCAUGAUCCAAAUCCACUAACCCAAGUCCGAUCAUCACGUGAGUUGCGUAUAGUUUCAGUGGUAAACAUCUCUAUGCUAAUCAUAUCAACUAUAUGAUUCAUGCUCGACCUUUCGGUCUCUUGUGUUCCGAGGCCAUGUCUGCACAUGCUAAGCUCGUCAAGUUUAACCCGAGUGUUCCGCGUGUGCAACUGUUUUGCACCCGUUGUAUGCGAACGUUGAGUCUAUCACACCCGAUCAUCACGUGGUGUCUCGAAACGACGAACUGUCGCAACGGUGCAUAGUCGGGGAGAACACAAUUUUAUCUUGAAAUUUUAGUGAAGGAUCACGUUAUAAUGCUACCAUCGUUCUAAGAAAGAUAAGGUGCAUAAAAGGAUUAACAGCACAUGCAAUUCAUAAGUGACAUGAUAUGGCCAUGAUCUUGUGCUUCUUGAUCUCCAUCACCAAAGCACCGACAUGAUCUUCAUCGUCACCGGCACCACACCAUGAUCUCCACCAUCGUGCCGCCAUCGAGGUUGUCGUGCUAUAUACGCUAUCACUACUAAAGCUACAACCUAGCGAUAUAGUAAACGCAUAUGCAAACACAAACGUUAGUUUAAAGACAACCUUAUGGAUCCUGCCAGUUGCCGUAGCAUCGACGUGCAAGUCGAUAUUUAACUAUUACAAAAUGAUCAUCUCAUACAUCCAAUAUAUCACAUCAUGUCUUUGGCCAUAUCACAUCACAUGCAUACCCUGCAAAAACAAGUUAGACAUCCUCUAAUUUGUUGUUGCAUGUUUUACGUGGCUCCUAUGGGUAUCUAGUAUGAUCGCAUCUUACUUACGCAUAGCCACAACGGUAAUAUGCAAAUUGCUAUUUAACCUUUCUCCAAGGACCGCCUCGGUCAAAUCCGAUUCAACUAAAGUUGAAGAAACAGACACCCGCCAGUCAUCUUUAUGCAACAAGUUGCAUGUUAGUCGAUGAAACCGGUCUCUUGUAAGCGUACGAUUAAGGUUGGUUUGGGCCGCUUCAAUCCAACAAUACCGCCGAAUCGAGAAAAUACUAAGGAGGGCAGCAAAUUGAACAUCAAUGCCCACAAAAACUUGUUUGUUCUACUCGAGAUUACAUCUACGCAUGAACCUAGCUCAUGAUGCCACUAUUGGGGAACGUUUCAUGGGAAACUAAAAAAUUCCUACACACACGAAGACCUAUCAUGGUGAUGAUCAUCUACGAGAGGGAGAUCGGGUCCACAUACCCUUGUAGAUCGCUAAGUGGAAAUGUUAAGAAACGUGUAUGAUGUAGUGGUAUGUCUUCACGAUCCGUCCCACGAACCGUCUCACGAUCCGUCCCGAUCAAGUGUUGAACGGACGGCACCUCCGCGUUCCGCACACGUACAGCUCGAUGACGAUCUCCGCCUUCUUGAUCCAGCAAGAGGGGCGGAGAGGUAGAUGAGUUCUCCAGCAUGGCGAUGUGGUGGUGGUGUUGGUGGUGCUAUUCCAGCAGGGCUUCGCCUAAGCACCGCUGAAACUAGAGGAGAAACAGAUCUAGAGAGAGAGGGCAGCACGUGGCUGUUUCUGUUGUCCAAAAACCCUCAAAACCCUUAGUAUAUAUAGGAGGAGAGGAGGGAGAGGGUUGCGCCCUAGAGCAACCUUCUCUUCCCUUGCGCAAGGGAGAGGAGGAGGAGUCCUACUCCAAUCCUAUUUGGAGUAGGAUUCCUCCUUCCCACUUGGAAACUCUUUCCACCUUGUGUUUUUCCUUCUCAAACCUUAUGGGUCUUAGUGGGAACUUAUUCGAGCCCACUAGGGGAUGGUUUAUCUCUUGCCACAGCCCAUAAGGCCUCUUGGGGCGUGACACCCCUCCCGAUGGUCCCCGGCACACCUCCCGGCACUCCCGGUACACUACCGAUGAGCCCGAAACUUUUCCCGUGACCAAAACAGGACUCCCUAUAUAUCAAUCUUCAUUUCCGGACCAUUCUGGAAACCUUCGUGAUGUACGGGAUCUCAUCCGGCACUCUGAACAACCUUCGGUCACCAACACAUAUAACUUAACUAUACCGAAACAUCACCGAACUUUAAGUGUGUAGACCCUGCGGGUUCGAGAACUAUGUAGACAUGACCUGAGACACUCUUCGGUCAAUAACCAACGGCGGGACCUCGAUGUUCAUAUUGGCUCCUACAUAUUCUACGAAUAUCUCUAUCGGUUGAACCUCUAUGUCAAGGAUUAAUAUAAUCCCGUAUACUAUUCCCUUUGUCCUUCGGUAUGUUACUUGCCCGAGAUUCGAUCGUUGGUAUCUCCAUACCGAGUUCAAUCUCGUUACCGGCAAGUCUCUUUACUCGUUCCAUAAUACAAGAUCUCGUGACUAACUCCUUAGUCAUAUUGCUUGCAAGGCUUGUUGUGAUGUUGUAUUACCGAGUGGGCCCCCUAGAUACCACUCCGUCACAUGGAGUGACAAAUCACAGUCUUGAUCCAUGCCAACCUAAUAGACACCUUUGGAGAUACGUGUAGAGCACCUUUAUGGUCACCCAGUUAUGUUGUGACGUUUGAUACACACAAGGCAUUCCUCCGGUGUCCGGGAGUUGUGAUACGUCCAUUUUGCAUCAUGUUUUCAUGUUGAUAUUUAUUGCUUCUUGGGAUGUUAUAUUACUUGUGGUGCCAUAUUUAUGCCUUUUCGCUCUUAUUUUGCAAGGAUUAUUUGAAGAGGGAGAAUUCAGGCAGCUGGAAUUCUGGACUAGAAAAGGAGCAAAUCCUAGUCCACUAUUCUGCACAUCUCCAAAUGCCCUGAAAAUUUUCGUGGAUUUUUUCUAGAAUAUAUUAAAAAUACUGGGCGAAAGAACUACCAGAGGGGGCCACCAGGGCCCCACAAGCUUGCCCACCGCCGCCGCCCCCCUGGUGGCGCACGGCAGGCUUGUGGGCAGCCCACUGGCCCACUAGCCCCCCUCUUUUGCUAUAUGAUGCGUCCUGACCUGGAGAAAAUCAUACAGGAGCUUUUUCGUGGUUUCCCCGCCGCCACAGGGCGGAACUUGAGUAGAUCCAAUCUAGAGCUCCGGCAGGACGAUCUUGUCGGGGAAAUUUCCCUCCCGGAGGGGGGAAUCAUCACCAUCUUCAUCACCAACACUCCUCUCAGCGGAGGGGAGGCAUCUUCAUCAACAUCUUCAUCGGCACCAUCUCUUCUCCAAUCCCUAGUUCAUCUCUUGUAACCAAUCUUCGUCUCGCAACUCAGAUUAGUACUUGUAAGGUUGCUAGUAGUGUUGAUUACUCUUUGUAGUUGAUGCUUGUUGGAUUACUUGGUGGAAGAGUUUAUGUUCAGAUCCUUGAUGCUAUUCAUUACACCUCUGGUCAUGAUUAUGAUUAUAUCUUGUGAGUAGUUACUUUUGUUCCUAAGGACAUGGAAUAAGUCAUGCUGAUAAUAGUCAUGUGAAUUUGAUAUUCGUUCAGUAUUUUGAUAUGAUGUAUGUUGUUUUUCCUCUAGUGGUGUUAUGUGAACGUGGACUACAUAACACUUCACCAUAUUUGAGCCUAGAGGAAGGCAUUGUGAAGUAGUAAGUAGAUGAUGGGUUGCUGGAGUGACAGAAGCUUAAACCCCAGUUUAUGCGUUGCUUCGUGAGGGGAUGAUUUGGAUCCACUAGUUUAAUGCUAUGGUUAGACUUUGUCUUAAUUCUUCUUUUGUAGUUGCGGAUGCUUGCUAGAGAGGUUAAUCAUAAGUGGGAUGCUUGUCCAAGUAAGGUCAGUACCCAAGCGCCGGUCCACCCACAUAUCAAACUAUCAAAGUAACGAACGCGAAUCAUAUGAACAUGAUGAAACUAGCAUGACAGAAAUUCUCAUGUGUCCUCGGGAGCAUUUUUCCUCCUAUAUGACUUUGUUCAGGCUUGUCCCUUGCUACAAAAGGGAUUGGGCCACUUGCUGCACCGUUGCUACUACUUGUUAUUUGUUACUCUUUGCUUGCUACGUUUCACCUCGCUACACAAUCACUUGUUACCGCUACUUUCAGUGCUUGCAGUUAUUACCUUGCUGAAAUUCGUUUAUCACAGCCUUCUGCUCCUCGUUGGGUUCGACAAUCUUACUUAUAGAAAGGACUAUGAUUGAUCCCCUAUACUUGUGUUGGAAAUAUGCCCUAGAGGCAAUAAUAAAUUAGUUAUUAUUAUAUUUCUUUGUUCAUGAUAAUCGUUUCUUAUCCAUGCUAUAAUUGUAUUGAUUGGAAACACAGUGCAUGUGUGGAUACACAGACAAAACACAGUCCCUAGUAAGCCUCUAGUUGACUAGCUCGUUGAUCAAAGAUGGUCAAGGUUUCCUGACCAUAGGCAAGUGUUGUCACUUGAUAACGGGAUCACAUCAUUAGGAGAAUCAUGUGAUGGACUAGACCCAAACUAAUAAGACGUAGGAUGUUGAUCGUGUCAUUUUGUUGCUAUUGUUUUCUGCGUCUCAAGUAUUUGUUCCUAUGACCAUGAGAUCAUAUAACUCACUGACACCGGAGGAAUGCUUUGUGUGUAUCAAACGUUGCAACGUAACUGGGUGACUAUAAAGAUGCUCUAUAGGUAUCUCCGAAGGUGUUCGUUGAGAUAGUAUGGAUCGAGACUGGGAUUUGUCACUCCGUGUGACGGAGAGGUAUCUCGGGGCCCACUCGGUAAUACAACAUCACNNNNNNNNNNNNNNNNNNNNNNNNNNNNNNNNNNNNNNNNNNNNNNNNNNNNNNNNNNNNNNNNNNNNNNNNNNNNNNNNNNNNNNNNNNNNNNNNNNNNNNNNNNNNNNNNNNNGGUAAACGAGAUUGAAAUAGGUAUGCGGAUACUGACGAUCGAAUCUCGGGCAAGUAACAUACCGAAGUACAAAGGGAAUGACAUACGGGAUUAUAUGAAUCCUUGGCACCGAGGUUCAAACGAUAAGAUCUUCGUAGAAUAUGUAGGAUCCAAUAUGGGCAUCCAAGUCCCGCUAUUGGAUAUUGACCGAGGAGUCACUCGGGUCAUGUCUACAUAGUUCUCGAACCCGCAGGGUCUGUACACUUAAGGUUCGACGUUGUUUUAUGCGUAUUUGAGUUAUAUGGUUGGUUACCGAAUGUUGUUCGGAGUCCCGGAUGAGAUCACGGACAUCACGAGGGUUUCCGGAAUGGUCCGGAAACAAAGAUUGAUAUAUAGGAUGACCUCAUUUGAUUACCGGAAGGUUUUCGGAGUUACCGGGAAUAUACCGGGAAUGACGAAUGGGUUCCUCGGAAUGUACCAGGAAUGACGAAUGGGUUCCGGGUGUUCACCGGGGGGGCAACCCACCCCGGGGAAGCCCAUAGGCCUUGGGGGUGGCGCACCAGCCCUUAGUGGGCUGGUGGGACAGCCCAAUAAGGCCCUAUGCGCCAUAGGAAGAAAAUCAAAGAGAAAAAGGAAAAAAGAAAAGGGGAGGUGAGAAAAAGGGGAAGGACUCCACCUUCCAAACCUAGUUGGAUUCGGUUUGGAAGGGGAGGACUCCCCCCCUUGGCUCGACCGACCCCCAAGGCAAGGCCCCCCUCUCCCACCUAUAUAUACGGAGGUUUUAGGGUUGAUUUGAGACAACUUUGCCACGGCAGCCCGACCACAUACCACCAUGGUUUUACCUCUAGAUCGCGUUUCUGCGGAGCUCGGGUGGAGCCCUGCUGAGAUUAGAUCACCACCAAACUCCGGAGCGCCGUCAUGCUGCCCGAGAACUCAUCUACCUCUCCGUCUCUCUUGCUGGAUCAAGAAGGCCGAGAUCAUCGUCGAGCUGUACGUGUGCUGAACGCGGAGGUGCCGUCCGUUCGGCACUAGAUCGUGGGACGGAUCGCGGGACGGUUUGCGGGGCGGAUCGAGGGACGUGAGGACGUUCCACUACAUCAACCGCGUUUCUUAACGCUUCUGCUGUGCGAUCUACAAGGGUACAUAGAUCAAAUAUCCCCUCUCGUAGAUGGACAUCACCAUGAUAGGUCUUCGUGCGCGUAGGAAAAUUUUUGUUUCCCAUGCGACGUUCCCCAACAACUUGUGGGUCAUCAAGACUCUUUUCUGGCGCCGUUGCCGGGGAGUGAAGCGCCUUUGGUAAGUGGAAAUUGGUAAGGAAACAAUUUUAUACUGUGCUGAAAUUUAUUGUCACUUGUCACUAUGGAAACUCUUCCUUUGAGGAGUUUGUUCGGGGUAUCUUCACCAUGAACGGAAGCACGAGGAUUUGCUCCUCAACCUGAGGUACCUACUGAAAAUAUCUUUUAUAAAAUUCCUUUGGGUAUGCUUGAGAAAUUGCUGGCUAAUCCUUUUACAGGAGAUGGAUCUUCACAUCCAGACUUUCAUCUAAUCUAUGUAGAUGAAGUUUGUGGUUUAUUUAAGCUUGCAGGUUUGCCCGAGGAUGAGGUAAAGAAGAAACUCUUUCCUUUAUCUUUGAAGGAUAAGGCAUUGACAUGGUAUAGGCUAUGUGAUGAUACUGGAUCAUGCAGCUACAAUCGGUUGAAAUUGGAAUUUCAUCAAAAGUUCUAUCCCAUGCAUUUAGUAUAUCAUGAUCGGAACUUUAUUUAUAACUUUUGGCCUCGUGAUAGGGAAAGCAUAGCUCAAGCUUGGGGGAGGCUUAAAUCAAUGCUAUAUUCAUGCCCCAAUCAUGAGCUCUCGAGAGAAAUCAACACUCAAAACAUUUAUGCUCGGAUUUCUCAUGAAGAUCGUACCAUGCUUGAUACUUCUUGUGCCGGUUCUUUUAUGAAGAAGAAUAUUGAUCACAAGUGGAAUUUAUUGGAGAGAAUCAAACGCAACUCUGGAGAUUGGGAGCUGGAGGAAGGUAAGGACUCAGGUAUGAAUUUCUAUUUUGAUUGCGUUAAAUCUUUUGUUGAGACAAACACUUCUAGAGAGCGCUAAGUAUGGACUUGACUCUGAGAUAGUAGCUUCUCUUUGUAAAUCUUUUGCUGCUCAUGUUGAUCUUCCCAAAGAGAAGUGGUUUAAAUAUCAUCCUCCUGUAGAAAGCAACAUAGCCAAAACCAAUCUAGUUGAGGAGAAAAUCAUAGCUUUUAGUGAUCCUGUUGUUCCUUGUGCUUACACUGAGAAACCACCAUACCCUGCUAGGAUGAAGGAUUAUUCUAAAGCUCCAACUGUGAUACGUAGGGGUUACAUUAGACCACUUGCACCCCCUGAAGAGAUUAGAGUUGAACCUAGUGUUGCUAUUAUCAAAGAUCUCUUAGCCAAAGAGAUAGAUGGGCAUGUUAUCAAAUUCUGUGAGGACUCCGCUAGAAUUGCUAAACCUCACGCGAAAGACAAGCACGGACCUGUAGUUGGCCUGCCCGUUGUUUCUGUUAAGAUAGGAGAUCACUGUUACCAUGGUUUAUGUGAUAUGGGAGCUAGUGUUAGUGCAAUACCCCGUUCUCUAUAUGAUGAAAUCAAAGAUGAGAUUGCACCAGCUGAGAUAGAACCCAUUGAUGUCACUAUCACGCUAGCUAAUAGAGACACUAUAUGCCCUUUGGGAAUUGUGAGAGAUGUAGAAGUCCUGUGUGGUAAGACGAAGUAUCCUACUGAUUUCCUCGUCCUUGGUACUACACAAGAUAGCUUUUGUCCCAUCAUAUUCGGUAGACCCUUUCUCAACACUAUCAAUGCUCACAUUGAUUGCAUUAAGCAGACUGUCAUAGUAAGUUUCGAGGGUGUGUCUCAUGAAUUUAACUUCUCCAAGUUUGGAAGACAACCCCAUGAAAGAGAUUCAUCUGGUAGGGAUGAAAUCAUUGCUCUUUCCUCUAUUGCCAUACCUCCUACGAAUCCUUUAGAGCAAUAUCUGCUUGAGCAUGAAAAUGAUAUGCAUACGGAGGAGAGAGAUGAGAUAGAUAGAAUUGUCUUAGAACAAUGUCCUAUUCUCAAGAAUAAUCUGCAUGUUGAACUGCUUGGGGAUCCUCCCCCACCAAAGGGUGAUCCUGUGUUCGAGCUUAAACAGUUGCCUGAUACUCUUAAGUAUGCCUAUCUUGAUGAGAAGGAGAUAUAUCCUGUCAUUAUUAGUGCUCUCCUCUCAGAGCGUGAAGAGAAGAAGUUACUAAAAACUCUGAGGAAGCACCGCGCUGCUAUUGGAUAUACUCUUGAUGAUCUUAAGGGUAUUAGUCCUACUCUAUGUCAGCACAAGAUUAAAACCGAUCCUGACUUUAAACCAGUUGCUGAUCAUCAAAGGAGAUUAAAUCCUAAGAUGAAAGAGGUCGUUAGAAAAGAAAUAUUAAAGCUUCUGGAAGCAGGAAUCAUUUAUCCUAUUGCUCAUAGUGAUUGGGUAAGUCCAGUACAUUGCGUACCUAAGAAGGGAGGUAUCACCGUCGUUCCUAAUGAUAAGGAUGAACUAAUCCCACAAAGGAUUAUUACCGGCUAUAGAAUGGUGAUAGACUUCCGGAAACUGAACAAGGCAACCAGGAAAGAUCAUUAUCCUUUGCCGUUCAUCGACCAAAUGCUAGAAAGGCUAUCAAAGCACACACACUUUUGCUUUCUAGACGGUUAUUCAGGUUUCUCGCAAAUACCUGUUGCAUAAUUUGAUCAAGAGAAAACCACCUUCACCUGCCCUUUCGAUACCUUUGCCUAUAGAUGUAUGCCUUUUGGCUUAUGUAAUGCACCUGCCACCUUUCAAAGAUGUAUGAUGGCUAUAUUCUCUGACUUUUGUGAAAAGAUUGUCGAGGUUUUCAUGGAUGACUUCUCCAUUUACGGGUCUUCCUUUGAUGAUUGCCUCAGCAACCUUGAUCGAAUCUUACAGAGAUGCGAAUAAACCAACCUCGUCUUGAAUUGGGAGAAGUGCCACUUUAUGGUUAAUGAAGGUAUCGUCUUAGGACACAAAAUCUCUGAAAGAGGCAUUGAAGUUGAUAAGGCUAAGGUUGAUGCAAUUGAGAAAAUGCCUUGCCCCACAGAUAUCAGAGGUAUACGAAGUUUCCUAGGUCAUGCUGAUUUCUAUAGAAGGUUCAUUAAAGACUUCUCUAAGAUUUCUAGGCCUCUUACCAACCUCUUGCAGAAGGAUGUUCCUUUUGUUUUUGAUGAGGAUUGUGAGGAAGCCUUCGAAAUACUUAAGAAGGCUUUGAUAACCGCACCUAUUGUUCAACCACCUGACUGGAACUUUCCCUUUGAAAUCAUGUGUGACGCUAGUGAUUAUGCUGUUGGUGUUGUUCUAGGACAAAGAGUUGACAAGAAGUUGAAUGUCAUUCACUACGCUAGUAAAACUCUAGACAGUGCCCAAAGGAACUAUGCCACUACGGAGAAGGAAUUUUUAGCACUCGUGUUUGCAUGUGAAAAAAUCAGAUCUAACAUAGUUGACUCCAAGGUCACUAUUCACUCUGAUCAUGCUCCUAUUAAGUACCUUAUGGAGAAGAAGGACGCUAAGCCUAGGCUUAUCAGAUGGGUUCUCCUGCUACAGGAAUUUGAUUUGCACGUCAUUGACCGAAAGGGUGCUGAUAACCCUGUAGCAGAUAACUUGUCUAGGCUAGAGAAUGUCCUUGAUGACCCACUACCAAUUGAUGACAGCUUUCCUGAUGACCAAUUAAAUGUCAUCCGCACUUCACUUAGUGCACCAUGGUAUGCCGAUUAUGCAAACUAUAUCGUAGCCAAAUACAUACCACCCAGUUUCACCUAUCAACAAAAGAAGAAAUUCUUCUUUGAUUUGAGACACUACUUUUGGGAUGAUCCUCACCUUUAUAAGGAAGGAGUAGAUGGUGUUAUUAGACGUUGUGUGCCUGAACAUGAACAGGGACAGAUCCUGCAGAAGUGUCAUUCCGAAGCCUACGGAGGACACCACGCUGGAGAUAGAACUGCCCAUGAGGUAUUGCAAUCAGGUUUCUAUUGGCCCACUCUCUUCAAGGAUGCUCGUAAGUUUGUCUUGUCUUGUGACAAAUGCCCAAGGAUAGGGAACAUCAGUAAGCGUCACAAGAUGCCUAUGAACUAUUCACUUGUCAUUGAACCAUUUGAUGUCUGGGGCUUUGAUUAUAUGGGACCCUUCCCGAGUUCCAGUGGGUACACUCACAUCUUAGUUGUUGUGGAUUACGUUACUAAGUGGGUAGAAGCUAUCCCCACUAAAAAUGCUGAUCACCACAACUCUAUUAAGAUGCUUAAAGAAGUUAUAUUCCCAAGAUUUGGAGUCCCUAGAUACUUGAUGACUGAUGGCGGUUCACACUUCAUUCAUGGUGUUUUCCGCAAGAUGCUAGCUAAGUAUGAUGUCAACCAUAGAGUUGCAUCUCCUUAUCAUCCUCAGUCUAGUGGUCAAUUGGAGUUGAGUAAUAGGGAGAUCAAGUUGAUCUUACAAAAGACCGUCAAUAGAUCCCGAAAGAACUGGUCUAGCAAACUUGACGAUGCACUAUGGGCUUAUAGGACUGCUUAUAAAAAUCCCAUGGGCAUGUCACCGUAUAAAAUGGUUUACGGUAAGGCCUGUCAUUUACCUCUUGAGUUGGAACACAAAGCUUAUUGGGCAAUCAAAGAGCUCAACUUUGAUUUCAAACUUGCCAGUGAGAAGCGGUUGUUUGAUAUCAGCUUGUUGGAUGAAUGGAGAGCCCAGGCAUAUGAGAAUACCACGUCGUCAAGGAAAAGGUUAAGAGAUGGCACGACAAACGAAUACAGAAACGAGAGUUCAAUGUAGGUGAUUAUGUCUUGCUAUACAAUUCUCGUUUGAGAUUCUUUGGAGGCAAGCUUCUCUCUAAAUGGGAAGGUCCCUACGUUGUCGAGGAAGUAUAUCGUUCCGGUGCCAUCAAAAUCAAUAAUACAAGGAAAUUUUCCUAGAGUGGUAAAUGGGCAAAGAAUCAAGCAUUACAUCUCUGGUACUCCCAUAAAUGUUGAGACCAAUAUCAUCAAUGUCAUAACUCCACAGGAGUACAUAAGGGAUGUUUAUCAGCCUGUUUCAGACCUUGAAAACGAAGAUGUAUCUGUUUCGGCAAGAAAUUGGACUCCGAUACUUUUCCAAUAGGAAAUUUCCUCAGUUUUGGAAUUUUUGGAAAAUUAGAAAAAUAAAAAAGCAGUCCGGAGAGCAAACGAGGAAGCCACAAGGGCCCACUCCGCCACCACCCCCUGGUGGCGGUGGGCAAGCUUGUGGGCACCUUGUGUGCCUCCCGGACUCCGUUUUCUUGCAGAGGACUCCUUCUGGCCCAGAAAAAAUCAAUAUAUAGUUGCCCGAAGGUUUUGAUCUUCAUAUCGCGUAGUUUUCCUCUGUUUUCGUUUCGAGCUUGUUUCUGCCGCAGAUCUAGAUCAUCAUGACUUCCCCAAACGCUCCUAAGGACAAGAUCUUGGAGAAGGUCAUCAAUCCCUACCUCACGGAAGUGCUAAAACACCAUCAAUCUAUCAAGAUGAGCGAGGGGAUGUUGCACAUCCGUGAUGUUGAGGGGCCUAAGAAGACCGGAAGCAUGGAGACGAGGCUCGAAGUAGUGGAGCAACAAGUCUUCAUGUGCCAAGGGAUGGUUGAGCGUGGACUCAACGCCAACCACACGAUGAUCACGGAGUUCACUAGCAAUCACAAGAUGGAUGUCAUUGAUAUCGGGAAACACCUCUCCAGACUUUACGAUAGGGUUGACCAACUUCAGGGCCAAAUCUAUGACCUGCAGAAUCAAAACUGUGAGUAUGGGUAUAGAUUUAAAUCAAUAAGGUUGGCUGCAGAUUUGAGGAUUUCGGCUACUCGUUCAUCCUGCCAUGAUGGAGCACCUAUGCCUUGGAAGACGGAGGAUCAGACUACUCCAACAACACCACCAUCAUCACCAAAGGAAGACAACUAAGCAUUGGUAUGGGCAAUCCCCUUGGCUUCUGCCGAGCUUGGGGGAGUUGCCCUGGUAUCAUAUCACCUUUAUAUCUUUUGCUUUUACCUUUGUUUUAGUUCUUUCCCUUUCAGUUUUUAUUUCUUCUUUUAGAGGAAUAAGUCUUUAGUUUUUAGUUUGAGUCUUUUGCUUUUGGUCUCUCCCCCGAUGUAUUCGAGCUUACGAGCUAUAUAAUAAAGAGUGUCUUAGUCAAAGGGCUUUGCUUUGUGCCAUGAUCAAAAGUAUGAAAAGAACGAUAGCAUGAAAGAUCAUGAGACGAUCUUAUGGAAAGUGAUAACUUCACUUAUGACACGUAUGAUGAUUGAAACUUGUCGAGAAUAAAUCAACACAUACCUCAGUCAUUGUUGCAAUUAAUAAGAAGUAAUAAGGAAAGAGAGGUUCACAUAUAAAUAUAUCAUCUUAGACACUUUCUACAAUUGUGAGCACUCACCAAACUAUUACAUGCCUAGGAGUAGAUGUUGGACAAGGAAGACAACAUAAUGAAUUGUGUUUGCUUGGUUCCAAACAAUGUUAUAUGAUUAGAGAUCCCUUAGCAUGUGACGAUUGCUUCCACCUCAUAUUAGCCAAAACUUCCGCACCAAGUAGAGAUACUACUUGUGCAUCCAUAAACCUUCAACCCAGUUUUGCCAUGAGAGUCCACCAUACCUACCUAUGGAUUGAAUAAGAUCCUUCAAGUAAGUUGUCAUCGGUGCAAGCAAUAAAAAUUGCUCUCUAAUAUGUAUGAUCUAUUAGUGUGUGGAAAAUAAGCUUUGUACGAACCUGUGAUGAGGAAGACAUAAAAGCGACAGACUGCAUAAUAAAGUUCUUUGUCACAGGAGGCAAUAUAAAGUGACGUUCCUCCGCACUAAGAGGACACGCAUUCAAACCUCAAAAGUGCAUGACAACCUCUGCUUCCCUCUGCGAAGGGCCUAUCUUGUACCUUUACUUUUACCCUUGUAAGAGUCAUGGUGAUCAUCACCAAUUCCCUUUUUGCCUUCGUCUUGGCUACCGUCACAUGCUUGGAAAAGAUCUAUAUUCAUAUAUCAACUUGGAGUUGAGUACUCAUGCUUUAUUGUUGUUGACUUUACCCUUGAGGUAAACCGUUGGGAGGAAAAACUAUAAGCCCCCAUCUUCCUCUGUGUCGAGCUGAAGCUUUGACACCAUGAGUACCACGUGAGCUAUAAAAAUUGUGGAAAACAAAAGAGAUGAUUGAGUAUGUGGGUUUGCCUUACAAGCUCUUAUUUGACUCUUUCUGAUGUUGUGAUAAAUUGCAAUUGCUUCAAUGAUUAUGGACUAUUGUUGGUUACUUCUCGGUAAGGUUUUUGCUUCAUGCUUUGCUUUGUGAAGGAAUUGUUACUUUCCCAUAAGAAUCUUUAUAUAUAUUGUUGUUCUAUGUGUGAUCAUGAUGCCCUCAUGUCUGUAUUAUGUUUUAUCGACACCUUCGUCCCUCAACAUGUGGACGUGUUUAUGGAACUUGGUUUUCGCUUGAGGACAAGCGAGGUCUAAGCUUGGGGGAGUUGAUACGUCCAUUUUGCAUCAUGUUUUCAUGUUGAUAUUUAUUGCUUCUUGGGAUGUUAUAUUACUUGUGGUGCCAUAUUUAUGCCUUUUCGCUCUUAUUUUGCAAGGAUUAUUUGAAGAGGGAGAAUUCAGGCAGCUGGAAUUCUGGACUAGAAAAGGAGCAAAUCCUAGUCCACUAUUCUGCACAUCUCCAAAUGCCCUGAAAAUUUACGUGGAUUUUUUCUGGAAUAUAUUAAAAAUACUGGGCGAAAGAACUACUGGAGGGGGGCCACCAGGGCCCCACAAGCUUGCCCACCACCACCACCCCCUGGUGGCGCACGGUAGGCUUGUGGGCAGCCCACUAGCCCACUAGCCCCCCUCUUUUGCUAUAUGAUGCGUCCUGACCUGGAAAAAAUCAUACAGGAGCUUUUUCGUGGUUUCGCCGCCACCACGGGGCGGAACUUGAGCAGAUCCAAUCUAGAGCUCUGGCAGGACAAUCCUGCCGGGGAAAUUUCCCUCCCGGAGGGGGGAAUCGUCGCCAUCUUCAUCACCAACACUCCUCUCGUCGGAGGGGAGGCAUCUUCAUCAACAUCUUCAUCAGCACCAUCUCUUCUCCAAUCCCUAGUUCAUCUCUUGUAACCAAUCUUCAUCUCGCAACUCAAAUUGGUACUUGUAAGGUUGCUAGUAGUGUUGAUUACUCUUUGUACUUGAUGCUUGUUGGAUUACUUGGUGGAAGAUUUUAUGUUCAGAUCCUUGAUGCUAUUCAUUACACCUCUGGUCAUGAUUAUGAUUAUGUCUUGUGAGUAGUUACUUUUGUUCCUGAGGACAUGGAAUAAGUCAUGCUGAUAAUAGUCAUGUGAAUUUGAUAUUCGUUCGGUAUUUUGAUAUGAUGUAUGUUGUUUUUCCUCUAGUGGUGUUAUGUGAAUGUCAACUACAUAACACUUCACCAUAUUUGGGUCUAGAGGAAGGCAUUGGAAAGUAGUAAGUAGAUGAUGGGUUGCUGGAGUGACAGAAGCUUGAACCCCAGUUUAUGCGCUACUUCGUGAGGGGUUGAUUUGGAUCCACUAGUUUAAUGCUAUGGUUAGACUUUGUCUUAAUUCUUCUUUUGUAGUUGCGGAUGCUUGCGAGAUAGGUUAAUCAUAAGUGGGAUGCUUGUCCAAGUAAGGGCAGUACCCAAGUGCCGGUCCACCCACAUAUCAAACUAUCAAAGUAACGAAUGCGAAUCAUAUGAACAUGAUGAAACUAGUAUGACAGAAAUUCCCGUGUGUCCUCGGGAGCGUUUUCCUCCUAUAAGACUUUGUUCAGGCUUGUCCCUUGCUACAAAAGGGAUUGGGCCACUUGCUGCACCGUUGCUACUACUUGUUACUUGUUACUCUUUGCUUGCUACGUUUCACCUCGCUACACAAUCACUUGUUACCGCUACUUUCAGUGCUUGCAGUUAUUACCUUGCUGAAAUCCGUUUAUCAGAGCCUUUUGCUCCUCGUUGGGUUCGACACUCUUACUUAUCGAAAUGACUACGAUUGAUCCCCUAUACUUGUGGGUCAUCAAGUUGCGUGAUCACAUGGUCAUAGGAACAGAAACAUUGACAUGCAGAAAAAUAGUAGCAAUAAACUGACACGAUCAUAUGCUACAUUUAUAGUUCGGUUCUUGUCCAUCACAUCAUUCUCCCAAUGAUGUGAUCCCGUCAUCAAGUGACAACACUUGCCUAUGGCCAGGAAACCUUGACCAUCUUUGAUCAACGAGCUAGUCAACUAGAGGCUCACUAGGGACAGUGGGUUGUCUAUGUAUCCACACAUGUAUUUGAGUUUCCAAUCAAUACAAUUCUAGCAUGGAUAAAUAAAUGAUUAUUACGAACAAGGAAAUAUAAUAAUAACCAAUUUAUUAUUGCCUCUAGGGCAUAUUUCCAACAAUUUCUAUGUAAAAGGUGCGGAUAGUACCUCAUUCUCGUCUAUCCCAAGCUGAGGUAUGUCACCGACCCUAUGCUCAUCCAUGCAUACAAAAUUAUCCACUGGAGCCCUGAAUAAUUUUUUAUAGUAUUCAAAGAUAUAUUGUUUGAGAUUCUCAUGUCCCACAAUUGUACCCUCAUCUUGUUCUAGCUGGAUAAUUUUUUUAUUCCUAUGCUUUCCAUUAGCUAUUAGAUGGAAAUGUUGUGUGUUGUCAUCUCCUUGUACCACUUGGAGGACUUUCGCUCUUAGUGCCCACUUCAACUCCUCCUCUCUGAGUAGUUGUUUGAGCUUUAGUUCAGCCUCCAUUUUUCAAUGACCUCUCAUUGUCACCUAAUAACGUUUGUUCGGCUUUUAUGUCUAGUGUGUUUAUAAGUUUAUAAGUUCGACAAGCCUUUGUUUCUUUUUCUUAUAAAUUACACUAUCGUGCUUUUCCCAACCCCUUAAGAAUUGCCUCAGGUGUCUUAUCUUAUUUUGCCACCUGUCAACAUUCGAGUCACCUUCUGUGAAAUAGCCCAUUCUCAAACCCGUCCCUUUCAAACCAUCCCAAUUCGAAAGAAAAAAGGUUUUUAUUUCCCACAUGUGUUGCUUCUCGCGAGUCUACAAACAGUGGGGUAUGAUCAGAGAUAGCUCUUGGUAACUCUCAAACUGUGACGAGAGGGAAUUUCUGCUCCCAUUCCACACUCAUGAGAACCCGGUCCAACUUCUCAAAAGUUGGGUUAGGUAAAGAGUUUGCCCAAGUAAACUUUCUCCCUGAUAGCUCAAUCUCCCACAAAUUAAGGCUCUCGAUGAUUGAAUUAAACAUAAAUGACCAUCUUCCAUCAAAGUUAUCACUGUUUUUCUCAUCCUGCCUCCAGAUUAUAUUAAAAUCGCCCCCUACUAAAAUCGGCAGUCUCUCGUCCCCGCAGAUUCGGACAAGGUCAGCCAAGAAAUCUCUCUUGAACUCAGGCUGGGCCGCCCCAUGCACAUCUACGAGUGCCCAUUGGAACCCGUCAUCUUUGGAGCGAACUCAAAAUUUGACUGCAAAGUCUCCAUACACCACUUUCGUAGUUGUGGUGUCUCGCACCGAACCCCAAGCAAGAUCCCACCUGAUCUUCCUCUUGGAGGUAGACAAUGCCAGUCAAAUUCAGAACCUCCAUACAACGUGUUUAAAAACGAAGCUAUAUAGUUAUCUCUCCCAGUUUCCAUCAAUGCAACGAAAUCCAAUUUGUGCUCAAUAGUUGUUUCAGCUAGGAAUCUUCUUUUAGCCAAGUCUGCUAGACCUCUGCUAUUCCAAAAUGUUCCUUUCAUCGCUCAUCAUGAAAUUUCUUAGCCGUUUUAAAUCUAGCACUACGACGCACAGCUGAAACAGGAUAGACUUUUCUCUUCCAGGUUCUUUUUGGCCUAUCCUGAACCUCCGACCGAUCCACAUAACCGUUGGACUCUUGUGCGUUAGCAUUCGUUUGUGGAGGAGCCUCAUACCCCUCCUGAACGAUAUCAUUUGUGUCUUCAAGCAAAAGGGGGGUGGCACAAGAUCCUCACAUAAACGCUCUAAGGCUCCCAAACCCAAUGCAUUUAUAUCAGAAUCAUUCAUAGGUUUUACGGCUGCAAUUUUUCUGACCAUCUCAAUUGCCCUCUCUGCCUCUAAGUCUAACAUGUCAUUUACCGAUCUAGAUAUCUCCUGGUCUACCAAACGCUAGAAUAAGGCCUAGUAACGGGCCCGACCCAUGCCAUUUUGGCCCAUGACUGCAACCAAACACACCCUUAAGUAACUUCUACAAUAUCCAUCCCCAACUUCCAGAAAUUCUAACACUUAAAAAAUCAAAAUCAAACUAUUGGCAUUUAAAACUUUCAUACAUUUCAUUUCUGAAAAAAAUGGUCUUUUAGAUUUCGAAAUAUCAGUAUUAUAUUUUUUACAAAAUUUAACUUUAAGAAUUUUCAAAAUUAUAAGGAUUCAAAAUUCAAAUGUUUUAGCACUUAAAAAAAUUCAAACUUUAAAAAAAUUGAACUUUCAAAUGUUUUGAAUUUUAAGAAGUGUGAACUUUCAUUUUUUUAUAAAGGAUGGGUUUUAUUUACUCAAAAUAAAGCAUCAAGAGCAUACAAAUACAAUAAGAACACACCCGGCCACUUUAUAACUAGGAUGCACACAACCAACUCAAACUCACACACACAAAAAUACGAUCGGUAAAUAGCAAAGUCAUAUAAGACCAAAGCUAUGUGCGCGGUUGGAAAAAGAAACCAAAGCGACCAUAUUGGCAAUGGACAAACUACAACAAUGACCAUAUCUGCACCAACAAUUUCAUUACACCACACGGACAACGAGGUUCCUCAACAAUGACACCUUCAGAAAGGGAGCGACGCUCAAAUGCCGCUAUCAUCGGAUCCAACCAUCCAAGGUCAGAUGCAAGAUUUUCACUCUGAGAAUCAGUCCAAGCAUGUCCGAGCAAUUCCUUCAAUAAGGUAAUGGCGUAAAAACAUCGCCAUUGCCAGGUACAGCCAACUCGAGUUGGACCUAGGCUUUCACCCGGGAGCUCAAGACCGGGUGCUCGAGAAGCACCACCAUCGAAGUCACUAUGUGUUGUUGCCACUACUUUUCCACAAUCUCAGUAGCUAUAUGCGAUGUGUGACCGCUGAUGCUGCACAACCAUCCCUCUACAUCAAGCCAUCAUCAAUAGUUUCAAUCUCACCGUUGAAGUCAACCAUCGGAUCUCCAAGAUCAAUCAUGAAGACCUUUUGAUGGAUACUACAUCAAUCCGCCGCGAGACCGCCACCGUAGUCAUGGUGGUCACCACACGUUCGUCGUCACGCCCCUAGCAGACCUAAAGGUCCACACCAAGGAACCACGGGUCCACACGCAUGGAGCCAUGGAUGUGUGUGUGGAUCAUGAAACGACCAAUCCAUGGCCAUGGCCAUUAGAUGAGACUAUCCCUGGCUGAUGGCAGGUGUCCAAGCCCUGCCGACAUGGCCACUACACCAUGGGCGCCAUCCCACAUGAAGGAGCCACCAGGCGGAGCAGCGACCACAAGUGAGGCGAGAUCUACACCAGCAAUGGCUGGAUCAUCCAGGUAACUGUCCGCUGGAUCUGUGGUGACAUCGUUGGAGGAAGCACGGGGUAGAGAGUGUGAAUCUGGGUUGGGGGAGAGGGGAAGGUCGGGGAAGAAGAUCCCUGUGGCGGUUGAGUCCCGCCGCCGCUGACAAACUGUCAUCGAUGAUGACGACGAGGAUGGAACAUCGGAGGCGGCCUCGAGUGCUAGGGUUUCUCGCCCCCGGUGUCGCCCUGGAGCAACACGGGAGGCCGAUGGCGAUUUCAUAGGAGAGAGAGAGAGAAGGUUGAGAAAUAGAAUCACAUGGUUGGGCAUGUGAGGAAAGAGAGAGAUGGAAAGAAGCACAUGGAUGAGGCCCCCUCGUCCUAUCUACCACAUGGUAACCUGACACAGUCACAUGCAAUGCUUGCGGCAAUGACCAUGGGCACAGUUCCCACAAGAGAGCAUUCUUAGAGUAAUAGCGAGUCUCAUCCUCAUGUUGGAUGCCUAUAUAAAGCUUCUCCUUUCCAACAUUCAUCAUACGAAUUGGCCAAAAUUUCUUUCUCAUUUGUGAUCUUUCAUCACAUUCAACUUUCCUUUGUAUAUAUUGUUGCUAAGCUUCAAAUUCUAAUCAGCUGGAGCUAAGCAAUGAAUUCUUCAUGCCAUCGAGCAUUCCUCGUGAGGAACAUCUUUUGUACUUUGGAAUGAGUGGUAUCGAGAAAUUAGUCAGGACGACUUUCUGAGGCUGAGGCGCCGCUUUUUUCUGUUCUCGUCUCUGAGACGUUGAGGUGGUAGACAUUUAUGAUAAGUGCAUUUCUUGUUGAGAAUAGCAUCGAUAAUCAUGUCUAGUCUAACAACUUGCUCAUUUAGGACUACCCUGGACAGUGCAACAAGUAAAAUACCAAAUCCUUGUACAAAAACAAGUUGUUGCCCUGUGGUGAGGAGUUGAAGCUAUGGCAUGAACUCGUCCAUGUGUGCGGUAUUUCUCCUUGUUGUUUCCAUCGUCUCUAGAAAUCGCUAAAAAGAUCAAAAACAAUAUCAAACCGUUGACACUAUGUGUCUACCAUCUCACACAAAUUCGAACCCAUAUCCAUCGCAGAUCUCCAAAAACAAACAAACAAGACGGAUCCAGUGUUGAACAGCAUAGCAACUAAUUCAAAUCAGCACAUGAACACAUCAUAUCAUCAGCACCAACACAAGAUUGUUUUUUUUUCUCUUUUCUUCAAACAAUAUCCUGAUUAAGGUUUAAAUAUUCUUGUGGCGUUGUAAAUACAUGUUGUGUGUCAGAGACAUAAUUCUUUUUCAAAUAAAAAAACAUAACUUUUUUUACCACAAAUUUUUCUAGGCUUAUGUGUGUGUAUCUUCCUUGUUUCAGUUCCAAGUGACAAGAGGCAAACUUGUCACGGUUGACUGAAUAGAACAGUAGCAAUCGACCUGCCCGGAGCUUCUAUUUUUUGUAGGUGAUUUUCUCUGUUAAGAGUGACUUCUUCUUUUUUGAGAGUUUUGUUAAGAGUGACAUGAAAUCUGCAUAUGGCGAUCGAGCACGCAUGCCGGCGAUCCCACACGGCGCACCGCAGCCACAAGCCGAUCGCCCCCACAAAAUCUGCCCGACGGCUCCCACCGGGAUGGGAUUCCCCGGUGCCAAUGGCGCGCGCCCACCUCACCCCCUCUUAUCCCCGCCUCACCCACUCGCGCCACGCCCCUUAUCCCCUCCUCUUACAAACCCACACAAACUAAUCAUCGCCCACCACCCUCCAACGAUCACCAACCAAAACCCCUCCACACGCCCGCCCGCGCGCGCCACGGACGCAGCAAUGGCCGCCCUCGCCGCCUCCAUCGCCACCUCCACGGCGUUCGCCGCGAAGCCGCGCCUGUCCCGCCCGCCGGCGCGCCUCUCCGUCUCCUGCUCCGCGUCCAGCGGCGACAACAACAACAGCACCGCCACCCCCUCGCUCUCCGCCUCCAUCAAGACCUUCUCGGCCGCGCUGGCGCUCUCCUCCGUGCUCCUCUCCUCCGCCGCCACCUCCCCGCCCCCCGCGGCUGCCGACAUCGCCGGCCUGACCCCGUGCAAGGAGUCCAAGGCCUUCGCCAAGCGGGAGAAGCAGUCGGUCAAGAAGCUCAACUCGUCGCUCAAGAAGUACGCGCCCGACUCCGCCCCGGCGCUCGCCAUCCAGGCCACCAUCGACAAGACCAAGCGCCGGUUCGAGAACUACGGCAAGUUCGGCCUGCUCUGCGGCUCCGACGGCCUGCCCCACCUCAUCGUCAGCGGCGACCAGCGGCACUGGGGCGAGUUCAUCACCCCCGGCGUGCUCUUCCUCUACAUCGCCGGCUGGAUCGGCUGGGUCGGACGCAGCUACCUCAUCGCCGUCAGCGGCGAGAAGAAGCCCGCCAUGAGGGAGAUCAUCAUCGACGUCGAGCUCGCCGCCAGGAUCAUCCCCAGGGGCUUCAUCUGGCCCGUCGCCGCAUACCGCGAGCUCAUCAACGGCGACCUCGUCGUCGACGACGCCGACAUCGGCUACUAAGAAGCUGCCAUGCGUGCGUGCGUGCGUGGUUGGCUAGUCGGUCCCAAGUCAGGUGAGCUCUGCAUCCAUGCCUGAAUGUGUUCUGCUCUGUCAUGCCAUGCCAUGGCUCAACUGAUUAACUUGUCUUGCGUUCUUGUUUGCUUUGGCAGAUGGGCAGCGGAGGAUGAGGGCUUGUGGUGUCGAUCUGUGUGGGCUUGGUGUAGGAGCUGAUAGGAUCAUGGAGAAAUGGAACCUCUCUUGUAUUUAAGAAACUGAACCCAAUCUUGUAUAACUAUUGUGUUCUCUCUUCACAUGUGUGUAUUUUACCAUUGUUCAAAUUGUUGAGAACGAUUUUAUUAUGCACAGCAUACUAUGAGUGCAACUGCAUCAACAUACAUAGGAAACUCAACUCAGAGAAAAGGUUGAUUUUUGUUAUAAGAAUACAAGCCAAAUAUCUACUGCAGUAGCAAAUUUAACAUACAUGAUCCACAUGGAGCAAUAUGAAAGAUCGGUGCUGCUUCUCACAUUCUCACAACACUAUACAGACUACUCCCCCGGGUCUUAUAAUAUAAGAUAUUAUUACAACAAAUGCACUCACUUGAGCCUCUUAUGGUGUGGAAUAUUUGAGAGAGGGAAACGGCAGAGUUUUGGACAACACUCACAGCACACUGCGAAGAAUCGUAGACCGAAUGAAGGCCGAUCCCAGGCAGUGGGUUGUUUGAUCUUCGCAUAGGUUGUUCGGUCAGCAAGGCUUAAUUAUCAGUUUCUGGUGUAGGUCGUUUUGUAAGGACUGUGUGUUGUUUUCCCUUUGUUUCUUUUCAGUGCAGUCACAAUUUCAUCUGGAGCACCCUUUUGCAACGGGCCAAACUCCAGGAGGUCAUUUCUUGAAUGGGUCGGGAGCUCCUCCCAUGGUGGAUUGUGGCCAGAGUUGCCCUUCAAGGGAAAGAUAAGAAGAAUGCCCGGCUCUGAGAUCAGAGCCCUGGUCGUUUGGGCUACAUGGAGAGGGGAAUGCCUUAACAAUGAAGUCACGCCCUUUUCUUCAGGCCGUGAGCAAGCUUAAAUUAGAAGCUGGUUUUGGCGAGGAAGACUGUAUGCUCUAGGUGUUUCAGAGAAUGAAACAUGUAUAUAUUCAGGUUGUGGGCCGUCGCCAGCAGCAAUGGAUUGGUGAUUAUUCAAGACAGCGGCUGAAUUGAUUCGUAUAUAUGGACAAUAAAACAUGUAUAUUUGGACAGCUCUGACCCUGAAGGUUGCAACCAUGAUUCCAAAAUACACGGGAAAUUCACCUUAGCAAAAAGAUUUAUUAACAUGAUUACACCAAGUUCAGCAAUACAAAUAUUUGCUCCUGGGCAUCCAAGACAAGGCAAGUGCCCUGUUUUUCCAAAAGAUUGUUCUUUAAGAAUACAACACAAAAUGCCUACUGCAACCAGUAGCAAAUUCAGCAACAUGCUGAACAAUAUUGCCUGUUACUACUCACAAGUCACAACACUUUCGAUACUUAUACAAACUACAAAUGCUUAUUCACACAAGAAUACUUGAAUCAAGGAUUGCCACCAUCAUGCUUAGUCUGGUAGAGGAAAGCCUGUUGCAGUGGUCUCUAGUUCAGUCACCAGUAGCCACCAUGAGAUUGGUUGUUGGAAUUCGGCAGUUCUGCUGAAACAAAAGAAACACACCAUCAGCGCAAUUUCAACUUUUAAGCAGACAGGGUUUCAACAGUUUAGUAGAAUGGUAGUCAUCAGUCAAGCAUAUACGCUCUGGUUAUUGUGAAGGUGGACAUCAAUUUGCUAUCAUCAGAAGUUAAAAUUGUCAAGCUCUGUGAUUUAGCAGCUUAGCUUAUAUCAACAGAAGUUAUCACUGUGGUUAUCAUGGGUAUUGAAAACCGCAUACCGUUGUUAGGAGGUAUGAAGCCCUGACCCGCCACAUGUGCUUCUUCUACUACUCCUAGCAGUUCCUGGAAACGCAGGAACAAACAUCAUCAUGACAUAGCAAACGGAGAAAAAAGAUCUAAAGCCAUGUGAUUGCCAUAGACUGAUAUAAUUGGCCUGAGAGAAGAUAACUGGUCUGUUAUAAAGAAAAAUUCCCAUGACACAUCUAACUUAUUGGAAAGAAGCACAUACUUCAAUUGUAUAUAACGCAUUGACGGUCCCAGACUGAUCAUGGUUAAGUGAAGAGGUUCCCUGACUAACUCCACCUGAGGAAGUGCCAACACCAACAUAUCAGGACCCAAUAAUGCAUAAUGGAGAAGUGAUUUGAAUGUCUAGAGCAUUGCCUAUACUAUCACAUUAAGAAAACUAGAUAUAGCAAGCACGCCUCUUACAAGACAAAGAAUUACCAGGAGCAGCAGUCAUCAAGGAGCUUGAGUAUCCAUUGUGUUGGGCAGUUAGAUAUGUACGAGUCAUUGAGUUGUUCUCUUCAGCCUACAUCCAGGAAAUAUUUGAAGUUGGCAAUGAAUUGUUGGAUGGAAUAGUUGAUUCUGUCACAAGUAUCUUUACUUACUGGUGCAAAAUUGUGGGAUUGGCUGAUUGACCAGGCUGAGAAUGAUCCCUGACCAUCGACGUUUCCAUGGGUGAAAUAGGGAGGAAUUCCAUUACACAGUGUAGAAGGAUCCUGCUGAUAUAGUUCUACAGCAAAUUGAUUGCGAAAACUGUGAGUAGCAAUAAUAAUGCUUUUUGCACAGAGGCAGCACUCACAAUGUGGUCUAUGUUUGAUACAAAAUUGGGCAUGUGUUCAGUAUUUACCUUGAUGCGUAACCUGUUCAUGACUGGACUGUGCAAAUGGUGGUCCUUGAUUCGAAGGACCAGCAACAUUGUUUGCAAAGAUCUGUGCCAGUGGGAAUCCACUCUCCUGCAGAAAUGGUUGUUGCUCACCAAAUUCUGCAGUUGUUUGAUUUUUGGAAGUACUGGCACCGUUGUUCGGAGGUGCUGCCGGGACAAGGCGGCCGUUACUCAGGAAGUAAUCAGGGACAAGACGCCCUGAGUUCUCCAGCUCCUCAAAUUUCUUGUAUGCAGACAUUUUCCAAUUCUUCACUUUAAGCUGUAACAGAAAAUUCGAAUGUAAUUACCAGCACGCUAUUAUUUUAGUGACUAUCAACUGCCUAACCGUGAUAGAAGUGGAAGAGUGUUAGAUGCAGUACCUGUGGAAACUGAUCGACGUCACUGACACUGUACGGAACAUAGACAUCAGUCAUCUUACCGACAACAUCAUAGAAAUCAUUGAAUAAUAUUUCACAAUUAUCCUCUGGAACCCAAUACGAAUAGAUCUCAUCCCCAGGAACAGACAUGGUAGCAUGUUCAAUCAUGGAAUUCCAAUCCCCAUUCUUCAUGCCAGCAAGCUAAUUGCCAUAAAUUAAAAACUAACUUAUCAAUUAAUAAAAUGCCAACAGAUAUUACAUUUAGCAGUACACGUCCAAAUAAGUCCUAAGAUAUGCUGGACAUCUUAUCCUGAUCCAGAAAUAUCAAUAUAAACUGCAUAUAUACCUCUUGGAGACCAAAUUUAUCUUUGUGAUAAUGGCGCAACAAGUGCUUCACUUUCGUAAUAUUUUUCUCCACAAGGUUAUUCCAAUGUUUUCCCUUUAAGCAAAUUUUCUUCAGUUGAUGUAUAGCGUCUUCCUUGGAUGGAAUAGAACUCUUCUCAUUUGCUGAAAUAGGCAAAAAGGUUGGGUGUGUUCAGCGUUCGGACAAGAUUGCUAAUAUGAAAUGAGAUCGUUUUAGGUAUAUUUCCAUCUGUUAGUUUUGACGAAAGGAUUAAUGUCAAGGUAAAUUGCAAUCAAUUUAUUGUUGAUAUACCACCUACAACAUUGAAAAACUACAACGGUUCACACCCUUUCUCCAUUACACACGGAAUGUACAAGUCGACAUAAACUGUGUACUGAGCAAAGAAGAGUGACUCACAGUACUGCUACCCUUUUUUGGCAGAACAAGUCAUCCCCUUCAAAAAGCAAAACAUUUAGUGCCAAAAUAGCAUAUUUUGAGGUAAAGUAAUGUCAUUUCGUGCACAAGGCCAGAACUGUUUUUUGAAAGAUAUACUAUGUGCUGUAAAAAAUUCUUUAUUAUUCAAAUCAGCUUGUCAGACACUUAAAAGAGAAUCAUGCUCUUCACCUGACUAUGCAGUGCACCUAUAAUUCGAUAUAGUUAAAAAAAUGGCUCCGAAUAGAUAAGUGAAUAUACUCACAUUCACUUCGACGGUCUUUGACGACAAAAGGAUCAGUUAUUGCUUCCUGAACUCUGACAGUAAGAUCCUGCCUUUUCACUCGAGCUGUUAAUCUUAACUUUUUCCCGUGGGAGCUCUCUGGAAAGGAGAAUGAACCAAGAGAGGACUCGCCGUUUGUAAGACUAACGGUUGUCAAGACCGACUCUNNNNNNNNNNNNNNNNNNNNNNNNNNNNNNNNUCUUUCCCUUUAUACAUAUAAAUUUGCUUGCUGAAUUCAUCUUUGGUGAAAUCCUCUUGUCCGGUAAAGAAAUCAGCAUGAACAGGUAAGAUCUCAAUUUGCAAUUUAGAAAGAUCACCCUGCGUGAUUGGCUUCUCAUUUUGAAGUAUUGCUACUUUAGCGUUUGCUCCAUUCUUCCAUACUGGACAACGAGUGAAAAGUGUAUCUUUUGGUCCUGCAACAUCAAAGUGUAGCUUGACGACUCCAGUGAUGCUUCCAGUUUCAGGAAAGCCUUCCGAUACAUGCCUAAAAUUUAGAACAGGACGAGAGUGAGACAGUAACAAGAAAGGAAACUUCACAGAUUAUUUAGAAAGGAAAUACCACUUGGUUUGGCAGAUUUUUAGUGUCAAUGACAUGAAUAAAAAACAAUAGAGCAUUAAGUAGAGGAACUAUGCAUGUCCAAUUGUCCAGUGCUCAACUUGUAAUGCAGAACUAGUGCUGACAACUGUAGGAGGACAUAGGAGAAAAAUUAUAAUAUCAGGUACCUAGGAGGAGGCUCAUGAACGGCACUAGGAAGCGAAGCGGCUUGUUGUUCCUGCAUCUAUUGCAUGAUAUAACAAAAAGGAGUUAGGAUAGAGGUAGACAAUAAGGGAAAGAUUCCAAAAAAGGGAAAAGCAUAUUACGUCCAUACUGACCUUUGUCUGUACAAUUGACUGAACCUUAUCUUCGAUGCGUCCCAUAAUAGAACUGUUGGAUACAGCACAACAAGUGAAUAGAUAAAAAUAAUUAAGCAAAGGGGAAGCAUUAUCCAUCACAUCCACAACAUUCCAAAGUUGAAUACUACUCAACACAUAAACUCGUAAGGCUGCUUCCGUAUACUGAUACUAUAUUAUGCAGGUAUGGUUAUUACUGAAAGAAGAAGAAGAAAUCCAUGGUUUAUCCGUGCUCCAUGAAUCGAACUUGAUUAAUCAUCUGAGACUGAAGUAGUAUGAUUGUCAAGUUUUCCGUUGUAUAUAUACAUAGCCAGCAUUCAUAUGAAAGAGAAUAAUAGCUAGCCGUGUGUUUUUCAGAGGAUAAAGACUGGCAAGCAAGUCAGCAUCUCAAUCAUUACUUUCCUUUCCUUUAUUGGUCUGUAACUACGAGUAGUACUCCUACCUACUCCAGGAGGGAAAAUCGUUGCCGUACGUACCUAGAGCGAUCCAAAAUUCAAAGUAGAGUACAGCAUAUGAACCGUGACACUACACAUGGAUGUAUGUUUGUGGUUGAGAGCAUGUGUGUACCUCUGGAAAGCACCGAAAUGCUCCCCCAAAACUCUCUCCAGCCUCUCCAUGAUGGAACUCGCCACGUCGCGCUGCGCCUGUCGCGCCCCACGAAAAACAAUUGAAACAGUCCCGCCGGACCUGUCAGCCAUCGCCGGCCACGAAAGACGAAACCAAACGCGCGGCGAGGAGGAGGAAAUGCGGGGGAGAGGGGAACCGCGAUGAAUCGGCCUCACCUGGCGAAGCAUCCGCGCCAUCUGGCCGAUGGUGACCACCCUCGCCUUCCCCUCGUCCCUGCGGCGGCCGGGGCCGCGGAUCCGCGCGAAGCAGACGAUAGCGAGGGGUCAGUCUCGAAUCGUGGAAGCAAUGGAGAGAGAAGAGAAGAAGCGGCGGCUGACGCCGGCGCAGGAGGCCGGAAGGUACUCACAGCCACAUGACGAGGAGCCCCGCCCGCCGCAGCCGCUUCCUCGGGGAACACACCGCCUCCGGCUCCCGCUCCUGCUCCGGCUCCGGCGCGACGGCGCCGAGCGGCCGCUUGUUGUGCGCGCGCGCCGCCAUCACGCGCUUCGGGCGGGGUCGACGUCCCUCGGGUGGAGCGCGGCGGCGGUGAGCUAGCCGGGGCGGGGCGGAUGGGGAAGAAUGGUGAUGCCGCUGCCGUCGCCGUUGCCGUUGCCGUUGCCGUGAUGGGGAUUGGGGGGUUUGGGUUGAGCACUCGAGCUUGGAGCUUGCCGCUUGUCUUGUCUGCUGACGCGUGCACUGCGCUUAGAAAUAGGAGAGUUGGAGGGAGGAGGCCAAGGCGAGAUGGAGAAGCUGCGUCAUGUUAGCCGUCACGCACUCCCCCAGCGGCGGGAGGGGAAGACCGACCAUGGCGCUGGCGCGUAGAGUGCGACGUCAGGGGUGGGAGCUACGCGCCGUGCUGGGCUCGGGCCGGGGUGGUGGUGGCCCGCAGGUCUCUCGGGCUUGCCGCGCCACGGCCGGGCGGCUGCGCACUCCUCAUGUCGUCACCCCCGUACAACAUGUUCGACGAAAUUGGCCUAUAUAAAAAAAAAACAAGUUUUCAUUUUUGGUUCGUUCGGCGUCCAUUCUUUCUGGUUUAGCUGAUGAUGACAGUGACACCUGUCCCUCACAGCAGCUCGUCGUCACUUUCAACUUGCAAGCACAAGUCGUCAAUGGUUGACAUCCGGACGACCUCUUCUCUAACCUUGUGACAACACGAAUAGUAUCAUUCUGUACAAACCACAAACCGGCCUGUGCUCAAGUCCUUCCAUUCCUUCGUCGUCACCGCCGGAGCAUGGCGUCCAAGCGUGCUCGGCGACGACCGUCGGCAGUCGCUGAGCUAUAGGGGAAUGAUUGGGAUUCGGCCACCUACUGUUGCAAGGGAAGUAGUGAUAAUUCUAUGAAGAGUUUCUACGGUCGGCCCAUCCUAGCUCACUGGCCUAGCUCCACUACUGUCUAUCGUCGGCCAGUGGGUUGUAUCUUCCAUCCUUCCACACACGCGGAUUAAACCGUGAACGCAGAUGUGGGGUGCUUUCUACCUGGAGGCGUCGACCUAGAGCCGGUGUCUGAUGUCGAGCUAGGAGUGAAAGAAGGUGCCUUCCCCUCUUCCCACCGUGAUUGGGUUGCCAUGACGUGAAUGGUUGGCGGUGUAUAGGGGCAUGGAUGCCGGGGUGAUGGUCCCGGAAGAUGGCCUUCACGGUUGGCUAUCCGAUAGGCUCCAUGAGGGUGGUGGUACCUCCACCUCUUGUAGUGGCGUAGUCAGCCUGAUGUAUCAGGGUGGCCCGGUUAUAAAAAUAUUACAAUUUUUUAUUUAUUUAACAGAAAUAAUGUUUUACUACAUUAUGCACAAUCUAUACGAGAAUUCCAGGAUGAUCCAUGGACCAUCUUGUCCACCCCCUAGCUACGUCACUGACCUCUUAGUCGUGUGAGCGGCAAGGGGUGUAGUGACGGGAGGCAAUGUGGUUUUCUCUAUCAAUGUACAAGUCUGCUAUAGAUGGGCCAACCCUCGUUGUGGCGGUGAUCGAGGCCCCCUCCUGGUGGUGUAGGCAAGUGUCCAAGUGAAAGCUUUGCCCCUCUGGCGUGCCCCUUGCUUCCUGAAGACGCCAUCGUGACUCUCGCCUCUGUGCCAAACCUUUCUCCGGCUGCUCGGACUCCAUAGCGGCGACACUUCGCACCGUCACCCUGGGCGUUGUUGUGGAGUUCAGGCAUAGUCGGUGACGUGUUAGGCUUGUUCUAGGCGUUUUGUUGUAUCUUUUGAUGUGCUUCGUAAGAGGGUCUUUUCAUCACUUUGUAUCAUUCGGUUGUGUACUCUGGUAAGUUGCUUUAUUUAUAAAGUAGGAUGAAAAAGUCUCGAGAGAGAGUUAUGUUCAUAUACACCAAUUAACAUCCAACCAUGUUGGUCCCUGGACCGACAUGCCUAGGGAGGGCUCCUUUUGAUGAGGUGGCAGUCAACGGUGGUGUGUUUCGCCGUCGUUGUUCGUCCUUGUGGUUACCCCUUCUACAUGCAGCAGCAGCCUCACUGCGGACUAUGGUGACCACUGAAAUGACUUUGUGAGGAUUUCUUUUUAAAAAACCAUCGGGUGCCUUUGGCGAUGAGAUGCAAUCUAUGGACGACAGCUUGACGCAGAGGAUAUGUUGUGCAAUGGAGGAGGGUGCACAUCAUAUGUAGCUGCUGAAUUGCGGAAAAGAGGUGGUGACAACACUUGAGUGACUUCCAUGGUGGUGCUCGUUCAGUCUCAAGCUCCGAGCUUAAAGUCUAGGUCUGAUCGGAGUUGGUUAUACGUGUCAAUGACGAUGUUUUUGUGUCAUCAUCUUUUUAAAGACUUUGCUAUUUGUGAGUGUAUUUUCGGUGUUGGUGUUAGCUAUGUGCUUCCUAGCUAUACAGAGGUCGGGUGUGAUGUGUUUGUAUCCGCUUGAUGUUUUUAUUUUGAGUGAAUAAAACCCAUCCUCUGUAAAAAAAAAAACAUCAAUUAACAUGCAUCCCAACCGCGUCCCUGAUCCGCUUAUCAGAACUUCUUUAUUGGGAAACUAUAUCCAACUCUCGUUGCGUUGCCAUUAGUACCUCCUCUUUUCCCAUUCCGUUUCUUUUAAAGGACAAAAGUGGGUGUGAGCUCGUUCUGUUUUCUGAUACUUUGGUAAGUCAGCAUUAAUUCUUGGCCUAUGUGAAAAAGUUAAUUCAAGUAGUAAUUCUCUUGCUUAACUAAGAAUAUAUAGUUCCCUCAACAGGAACAAAGAAACUGAGAACAUGCAUGUAGCAACACAGACUGAAUGCAGAACCCUCUUCGCUUGGACAUAAUUGAGUACCCAGCUUGCAUGUUUUGAUCAGAUCAGUCCUGUAGAUAUACAACCCAACCUCUAACAUUAACGACCCAUCUGGGGAUGAUACACUGCCAUAUCGCUGGCUGGUCAGAUCAUCUUCACCGAAGCCCUGCUCGUAACCAGCCCAUUGCUCCUGACCUGCGUCGAGAAAAAUACAGAGAUCAAUCAUUCUACAGGAAUACGAAAUGCAUAACCCGCAAAAGGCACAACCUGCAGAAGAUACCGAUGACCAUCCACGCUGAUCCCAACUACUACAAUGGUGGCAUGCAGGCGGUAACGAGNNNNNNNNNNNNNNNNNNNNNNNNNNNNNNNNAGCGUGGAGCGCGUAAGCAGCGCGCGCGCGCGAACAUGAUGAGCUGAAAAUGGCGGGAGGCAAAGAUAUAUAGGCAUUGCACAAGCCGCCACAAGGAGACGGUCGACAAGUCGUCUUGUGUGAACGGCGGAGGCGGUGCGCGGACCGCGCGCGCGCCCGGGGAUCGGACGCGGAAAAUCCCUGCGAUGCUUCUCCGUCCGCUGAAACCGUAAUUUACAAUACUUCGGAGAAGCGCGUGGGGACGGGAGAGGAGAAGACCAGGCUGCGCUGCUGCGUAGGACGGGGAAUUUCCAUUCCUUUUCCAUACAGUUUCCGUGGGGUUUUCCGGGGAUGUUCUCGGCGUAUUUUGGUCUGACUUUGCGGGUUUCAUCGAGAUUACCUAGAGGCUAGGCUAGUCUCCAAAUCCUCCGACGGUGGAGAAGACUGAUCGGCCUCUUUCACACUAACUAUGCAUUCUUCCUGGAAAGUUGAACGCGGCUUCCAGCAUUAUUUUUUCUGAGUUACCCUCGAGACUUUUCUUCGCUGGCCUGGGCAGAUUGUAAAUUUGUAAUGCAUAGGUUCUUCCUUCACUAGUAGAAAAUUAGGAUUUUUGGUUUGGACGGAAUUGGGAGAAAACUUAAGAUGGAGUUCAAUGAACUUUUUUUUUUUUUUUGAGCAGGAGCUGAAUGACUAGACAAUUGGAAAGAUUAAAGGGUGCAAGGUGUAAAACAGUGAAAGUGACAGAAUGAUGGAACAUUUAUUAUUGAUUGAACAUGCGGGGUAUUUAUACCCCGAGUACGUUACAAGGAACGGUUGCUAAAUCAAGGCAACCGGUAACGCAUGGAUUAUCCCAUUAAUUAAUACAUUUAAUUAAUUCAUAACACUCCUCCUAAUCCAUGCUUGUCUUUGUAAAUGUGCAUCAUCUUGAUAAAUAAUAAUCGUUGUAAGUUUUUCUCUUUAAGAAUGUUCCUCAUCUUCAUCUUGAAAAAUCGUUGUAUAAUCUUUAAAGUCUCCUCCAAAAACCCUGUGGGAAAAAUAUGAGGAGAAUAGUGUAGAUAUGUUGCUAAAACUCCUUUAAACCCAGUGGAAAAAUAAUAAGGAGAAAAUUGUGCAACAUAUAAUGAUUAUUGCCUCAUGAUAACUCAUUUGAGAAAACCUUUAUAGAGGGAUAAAACUCAUUUUUGAGUUUAGAGAACAAUAUAUGUCUUGAGUACUUCCUUUAAAAACCCUGAUAGGAAAAAUAGAAAGUAUGAUAUAUGAUCAUUGAUAAGAUAUUGCCUCAUUAAAAACAUUAUGAGAGAAAAUUUCAAAGAAACUCAUAAUGAAAAGAGUGCAAUGAGAUGUGCCAUGGAAAACUCCUUUAAAACCUAGUAGGAAAAAUAUAAGGAGAAAUAUGAUAUGGCAUGCAUCAAUGCUUGUAUUUAAUUCUCUCAUUAAAAACCUUAUAUGAGAAACCUAUUGGAAAAACUCAUAAAGGAAAAGAGUACAAUAUUCAUUACCUGAUGAUAAUUAAAGGGUUAUAUUUUCAGGAGAUUUCUCCCCCUGAACUUUGCAAAUCUCGGAAUCAUUUCAUACCAAUUCCAUGAAUGUAUUUCUGGAACGUUGAAUUUGGUAAAGACUUUGUGAACAAAUCUGCUAGAUUGUCACAUGAUUUAGUUUGCAAAAUAUCAAUUUCUCCAUUUUUCUGUAAUUCAUGAGGGUAGAACAAUUUAGGAGAAAUGUGUUUUGUGAUAUUACUUUUUAUAUAACCCAUUUGCAUUUGAGCAACACAAGCUGCAUUAUCUUCAUAAAUAAUAGUUGGUGAUCCUAAUGAACCAACACCACAUGUAGUUUGAAUGUGGUUAAUCAUCCUGCGAAGCCAUACACAUUCUUUUGAUGCUUCAAAUAAUGCAAUGAUUUCAGAAUGAUUAGUGGAAGUUGUUACGAGAGUCUGUUUUGUUGACUUCCAUGAAAAAGCAGUUCCACCAUAUAGGAAUACGAAACCUGUUUGUGACCUGGCAUUGUGGGGAUCAGAUAGAUAGCCAGCGUCAGUAUAUCCUACCAUAGUCAUGUCUUGGUUUUUCUGAUAGAAUAAGCCAAGAUCUUUUGUGCCAUGUAAAUAUCUAAGGAUAUUCUUUACUCCCGUCCAAUGACGUUUUGUUGGAGCAGCGCUAUGUCUAGCUAGUAAAUUUACCUCAAAUGCAAUAUCAGGCCUGGUGCAAUUUGCAAGGUACAUUAGCGCACCAAUGGCACUGAGAUAUGGGAACUCAGGUUCCAAUAUCUCUUCGCCAUUACCCCGAGGUCUAAAAGGAUCUUUAUUCACAUCAAGGGAUCUGACAACCAUGGGUGUUUUGGUUGGAUAUGAUUUAUCCAUAUUAAAUUUUUCCAAAACCUUUUGAAUAUAGGCAGGUUGGUAUACUAAAAUUCCUGAGGGAAGGUGCUCAAGCUGUAAGCCUAAGCAGAAUUUGGUUUUUCCCAAAUCUUUCAUCUCAAAUUCCGCCAUUAGAUGAUUGCGUGCUUCUUCAAUAUCAGGUGUACUUCCAAUGAUACUGAGGUCAUCAACGUACACUGAGAUGAUGCAAAAUCCAUUUGAGGACUUAUUUAUAAAUACACAAGGGCAAUCAUCAUUAUUUGAGUAGCCUUUCUGAAUAAGGAACUCACUUAGUCGGUUGUACCACAUUCUACCCGACUGUUUUAAGCCAUAUAGGGACUUCUGUAAUUUUACACAAUAUGCGUUGCGAUUUGCUUUUGGAUUCGGCAUUUUAAGUCCUUCAGGGACUUUCAUAUAUAUAUCCGAUUUGAGUGACCCAUAUAAGUAUGUUGUCACUACAUCCAUCAACUGCAUAGAUAAACUCAUUUGUACUGCCAUGGAUAUUAAGUAUCGAAACGUUAUUCCACUCAUAACAGGAGAGUAUGUAUCAUCGUAAUCGAUGCCGGGUCUCUGCGUGAACCCUUGUGCUACAAGCCUCGCUUUGUAUCUCACCACCUCAUUGUUUUCGUUCCUUUUUCGAACAAAAACCCAUUUUGCUCCCACGGGGAAGACAUUUUGAGGAGUAGGUAUUACUGAGGAAAACACCUCUCUUUGGUUGAGCGAGUGCAGUUCUGCCUCAAUUGCUUCCUUCCAUUUAGGCCAAUCAGGACGCUUGAGGCACUCCCUGACGGUCUUUGGUUCUGGAUCCAGUUGAAGGGUUUCAGCAAUUUCAGAGGCAAAAUAUAUGUCGACAAUUGUAGUCUCUCUAUUAUAUGAUUCUCCGGAUUCUAUAUAGUUUAUGGAAAUUUCUUUUAUACCUUCAGACUCUAUGUGAUUUUCCACAACAAUAGAGUCAUGGUGUUCCGAUGUCCCAGCUAUUAUGUUUUUAUGCGCAUUUAUGCUGGGUUCAAGAUGUUGAGCAUCUGGUUGGUGUCCUUCAACUUGAGGUUGAAUUGCAUUUCGUGGUAGAGGAGUUGUUUUCCUCUGUUUCCGUGGAGGCUUUUGAGAAGCUAUAUUCCGGCUAACCAGAUUUCUCCCCCUCUUACUCUCAUUUGGGGUUGGAGUGGUUUUAGUUGGUACCUCGACUCGUUCUGGUGCAUUAACUGCGGGAAUAUGUGAUUUAAUGACACCUUUAUGGUCAGUAAAUGCAUCUGGCAGAUUAUUUGCAAUGUGUUGCAAAUCUAUGAUCCUUUGAACUUCAGUUUCAGAUUCUUUAGUACGUGGAUCUAAGGACUGAAUGCCUGUUACAUUCCAAUCUAUUUCCUGGCAUUCUUUGUGGUUUGAUUCUCCCCCUAAUGCCGGGAAAUGGUCCUCAUCAAAAAUUGAAUCAGCGUAGCGGGCAGUAAACAGGUCCCCUGUAAGAGGUCCAAGAUAUUUAAUAAUUGACGGAGAAUUAUAACCCACAUAGAUCCCUAGUUUUCUGUGGGGGCCCAUUGUUGUACGCUGCUGUGGUGAUAUCGGUACGUAUACUGCGCAACCGAAUUUUCGCAGAUGGGAAAUACUUGGCUGAGUGCCACGUACUAGUUGUAGUGGGGAGGUUGUAUGAUAUGCAGUUGGUAUAAUUUGUAUCAGAUCUGCGGCGUGUAAUAGCGCAUGUGCCCAACAAGAUGCUGGUAAAUUACAAUUCUGUAAUAGUGGUCGAGCAAUUAAUUUUACUCUUUUGAUGAGAGAUUCAUCCAAACCAUUUUGAGUAUGGACGUAAGGCACAGAGUGUUCUAAAUGAAUGCCCAUAGCCAUGCAAUAGUCAUUGAAUGCACGUGAAGAAAAUUCAGCGGCAUUGUCCAUUCGAAUUGUUUUUAUCCUAUUUUCAGGAUGAUUUGCUCUUAAUUUGAUAAUUUGAGCAAUUAGUUUGGCAAAAGCAUGAUUUCGUGUGGACAAUAGACAUAUAUGUGACCAUCUGGUAGAUGCAUCUAUGAGCACCAUGAAAUAUCUAAAAGGUCCUGAUAGUGGUUGAAUUGGACCACAUAUAUCUCCUUGAAUGCGUUCAAGAAAGUUAAGUGACUCACUUUUUACCUUAAGAUAAGAUGGUCUUAUAGUUAAUUUCCCAGUUGCACAUGCGGUGCACACAAAAUCUGAUGAUUUUGGAAAAUUUUCAGUUGGAAGGCUGUGACCGAUAGAAUUGUCAAUAAUUUUUCUCAUCAUCCCUACUCCAGGAUGACCUAGGCGAUCAUGCCAAGUCUUGAAUUUAUCAAGAUCUUGAAAAAUUAUUUUGUAUGCAACAUGUGGUACGGGUUUUAUAUAACUGUAAUAUAAUCCAGAUGAAAGUGAGGGGAAUUUCUCAAGAAUUUGUUUCUCAGACCCAUUACUCUUUGUUAAAAGCAAAUGUUCAGAAUUAUUUUCAGAUAUUGUUUCCAAAUGGAAGUUAUUUGAUCUGAGGUCUUUGAAACUUAGAAGAGUGCGUGUAGAUUCAGGAUACAAUAGUGCAUCCUCAAUUACAAUUGUAGUACCCAUAGGUAGAACGAGUGUGGCUCGUCCUGAACCAAUAAUCGACGCAUCGCGGCCGGCAAUGGUCAUAAUAUUCCCUUUUCUCUUAGUUAGAGUUUGGAAAUAUUUUAUUUCCCUUAAUAUUGUGUUAGUGGUACAAGUGUCCACCAAACAUAAUUCUUCUUCCAUUGGAUUAUUUUCCCGUAAAAUCUAUAUAGAGUAAAAUAAUAUUUUAGGAUGAAACUUUAUUCAUAUUACUCACAUAUAUAAAUAUAUAUNNNNNNNNNNNNNNNNNNNNNNNNNNNNNNNNNNNNNNNNNNNNNNNNNNNNNNNNNNNNNNNNNNNNNNNNNNNNNNNNNNNNNNNUCACAUAUAUAAAUAUAUAUAUACAAAGUAUUUAUAUUACAGUUACAAAUAUAAAUAUGAUAUUAUGUUUAAAGACAUAAUACGAUUGGUCCGUAGGACUUUAUUCUACUUAGAAUUAUACAAAUUAUAACGUCCAUUAUUACAAUAAAAUAGCUGAUAACAUCAAAUGAAUGAUGUGGAGAUUAUAUAAGAUCUCCAUAUGCGUCUUGGGUGUAUUCCACCAUCAUGUUGUCAACAUCAAGAAGACCUUCAUCCUUCUGCCUUGUUUCCUUAGGAGCGCUUUGAGAAGUGCUAGCUUCAAGGUUUUCUUCUUGUUGUAAGGCGUUGAAGUGAGCUUCAGCUUUUCCAUGAACUUGUUUGCCUUUUCCAGUGGAUUUGAUGUAUAAAUCCGCUAGAUGCUUGGGAGUUCGGCAUUUACUAGUACGAUGGUUUGUACAUCCACACCUUUGACAAAUCUCGGAGUUGGUGUUUCGGUCAUUUUUCUUGAAGUGACCUUUACCUUUAGAUUGACCAAAGUUUUUCUGUUUGUUGUUCCUUUUCCACUUUCCAUUGAAUUUCUUGAAAUUCUUUUUGUUGGCCCCAUACUUUUUAGUAAACUGAGUGUUAGCAUGUGCUUCAGGGAGUGGCAUUGAGCCCGUUGGGCGUGUGUGAUGAUUCUUCAUGAGAAGUUCAUCAUGUUUCUCAGCCUGAAGUAAAGUGUAUAUGAGCUCAGAAUACUUUUUGUAUUUUUGUUGACGGUAUUGCUGUUGUAGUUACCUCAUCGAGGGGUGGAAAGUGCACAAGGUCUUCUCAAUAAGGUCUUCUUCAGAAAUUGCUUGAUUGCAAAACCUUAGUUUUGAGUUAACCUUGUGAACUGCAGAGUUAUAUGCUGCCACCGAUUUGAAAUCUUGGAACCUUAUGAGGGACCAUUCUCUCUGUGCUUCCGGCAGCAUGACUGCUCUUUGCUGGUCAUAUCUCUCCUUGAGAGAGUUCCACAAAACUAGUGGAUCUUCUUCCAUCAAAUGUUCUGACUUUAAGUCCGGAUGGAGAUGGUGCCUUAAGAAACUUAAAGCAGUAUAUCUGGCUGCCGUGGGGAUUUCUCCGGCGCCUUCAUCGGGUGUGAUGAUAGUGGAACCGAGUUUACGACUUUCAAGGGCUAUCUUUCCAUCCAUAGCCCAUGAUAAAUAGUUACUACUAUCUAGUUCAAGUUCAUGAAAUUUACGAUGCAUGACACCAGCCAUUUCCUGCAUGGUAUUUUCAUGCAUAAUUUAGUUUUACUAUGAGAGUAAAAUAUAAGUUACAACAAAUGCUUUAGGAAGCAAAAUUUUCAAGUAUAGCUGAUGCUUUAUCUGUAGACCUCAUUUUAUGUAUAUGACACUUCGAAAAUAUUCACCGUUGGGGUGUAGAUCCCACAGUAGUGGAGAACAUAGUCUGGUUUUGACCAGUAGAUGUUCGUAGUCCAUUACCUUGUGUCAUACUAUAUUUUAUAAAAACACUUUGAAGGUAGUCAUCUUGUCAAAAGACUAGAUGUAGACCUCUCAGCAAGAGUGGAUAAUCUGCAAAUUAUGCAGUAGAUCACACAAUUACCUUGUGAUUUGUAAAAAUUCGAGGUAGUCACAUUAAUUCGCAUAUUCGGGAGAGCACUCGAAGAUAGUCAUUUUGCCAAAAUAAUGAAGGCAAAAUGUCGAUCUUUCAGCGAUGAGGAUAAUCUGCAAAAUGCAGUAGAUGCCUCAUCUACCUUGUGAUCCCAAAAAUUUGAAUUAAAAAAAAUUGUACUUGAAAACUACAUAUUCUAAAAAAAGUGAAAAAUGCUGAGGCAAUUAUAUAAAAUAUGUACACAUAGUCUGAGACUUUAUUUUAGACGAUAUACAAUCUAAGUAUUCAUACGUACAGUACAAUACCGAGUGAAUAUGAUAAGGAGAGGUUCUUAAUACAAUAAGAUAUCACACUGAAAUAAAAGGAACAAUCUGCAGUGCAAUAUAGUAAUUGCAGCAUAGUAGUACUAUGAUUAAAACACAACGCUAAUAGUCACUUUAUUUCCUGGCAUGUAUGCCUUUUGGAGAGGAAACGUGGCUUGCAGGCCUUUUGGAGAGGAAAACGUGGCUUGGAGUUUGGAGUGGACGUGGCCUGUGUUGGACCAUAUACCGGUUGGAGAGAUGGAUAAGGGAGAGAGCAAGGCAGCAAGCCGAGGCCACACAGCCACUUCUCUCCUGUUUCCCAUAUUCUUCCCGAUGCAGACCCAAACACCUCAUCACUCCAGCCUCCUCUCCCCAUGGCUGCUUCAAGGAAAACGGGGUUGGCCCCGCAGCGCAGCCCGGCUACUCCGUUGCUACUUGCCUCCGGUGCGCCGGCGAAGCCCAGGGUGUCCGGCGACCACACGCCACGAAGUGCCGCCCGGUUCUGCGCCAUAGCAGCGGCGAACUGGCGCAGGAUCAGGCGGGCUUCCGGCGGUGGCGUCGGCGGAAGGGGCAGAGCCGGAGGAGGAGGAGGUGUCGCCGGUGAUGGAGGGGGGAGCGACGACCACAAGCCCAUGUACUCCAUCCCCUCUUCUUCAACCUUGAUCUGGACGUUCAAGACGGGGAUGGUGGGGUAACCGCCUCGUUCCUCUCGAUCCGGUGUCGCAGAUGGCAGAUCCGGGAUGGGGCCGGUGUGUGCAGCCGCUGGCGGCGUCGGGGAUGGCAGAUCCGGGACGUGGCCGUCCGUGCGCGCAGGGCAUGGCCCGAACUCGUGCUGCAUGCAGUAUGGAGGAAGAGGCGGCGGCGUAAGUUCACAAGGGAACAUCACAUCUUCCCCGAGGAACGACGCUGAUGGCCCUGCAAGAAGCCAAUCCAUGGGACGUAUGUUGAAAGCAGAUGGCGAAGUGGCCGGAGCCGAAGGCCCAGCUGUUGGGGAACGUCGCAUGGGAAACAUAAUUUUCCUACGCGCACGAAGACCUAUCAUGGUGAUGUCCAUCUACGAGAGGGGAUGAGUGAUCUACGUACCCUUGUAGAUCGUACAGCAGAAGCGUUAGUGAACGCGGUUGAUGUAGUGGAACGUCCUCACGUCCCUCGAUCCGCCCCGCGAACCAUCCCGCGAUCAGUCCCACGAUCUAGUACCGAACGGACGGCACCUCCGCGUUCAGCACACGUACAGCUCAACGAUGAUCUCGGCCUUCUUGAUCCAGCAAGAGAGACGGAGAGGUAGAAGAGUUCUCCGGCAGCGUGACGGCGCUCCGGAGGUUGGUGAUGACCUUGUCUCAGCAGGGCUCCGCCCGAGCUCCGCAGAAACGCGAUCUAGAGGAAAAACCGUGGAGGUAUGUGGUCGGGCUGCCGUGGAAAAGUCGUCUCAAAUCAGCCCUAAAACCUCCGUAUAUAUAGGUGGGAGGGAGGGGAGGAGCCACUAUAUAUAGGAGGAGGAGGGGGGAGACUUGCCUUGGGGUCCAAGGACUCCCAAGGGAGUCGGCCGAGCCAAGGGGGAAGGUCUCCCCCUCCCAAACCGAAAUCCACUUGGUUUGGAAGGUGGAGUCCUUCUUCCCUUUCCCACCUCCUUUUGUUUUCCGUUCCUCUUUGAUUUUCUUUCCUAUGCGCAUAGGCCUCUCUUGGGCUGUCUCACCAGCCCACUAAGGGCUGGUGCGGCACCCCAAACACCCAUGGGCUUCCCCGGGGUGGGUGCCCCCCCCCGGUGAACUCCCGGAACCCAUUCGUCAUUCCCGGUACAUUCCCGGUAACUCCGAAAACCUUCCGGUAAUCAAAUGAGGUCAUCCUAUAUAUCAAUCUUCGUUUCCGGACCAUUCCGGAAACCCUCGUGACGUCCGUGAUCUCAUCCGGGACUCCGAACAACAUUCAGUAACCAACCAUAUAACUCAAAUACGCAUAAAACAACUCGAACCUUAAGUGUGCAGACCCUGCGGGUUCGAGAACUAUGUAGACAUGACCCGAGAGACUCCUCGGUCAAUAUCCAAUAGCGGGACCUGGAUGCCCAUAUUGGAUCCUACAUAUUCUAUGAAGAUCUUAUCGUUUGAACCUCAGUGCCAAGGAUUCAUAUAAUCCCGUAUGUCAUUCCCUUUGUCCUUCGGUAUGUUACUUGCCCGAGAUUCGAUCGUCAGUAUCCGCAUACCUAUUUCAAUCUCGUUUACCAGCAAGUCUCUUUACUCGUUCCGUAAUACAAGAUCCCGCAACUUACAUUAAGUUACAUUGCUUGCAAGGCUUGUGUGUGAUGUUGUAUUACCAAGUGGGCCCCGAGAUACCUCUCCGUCACACGGAGUGACAAAUCCCAGUCUCGAUCUAUACUAACUCAACGAACACCUUCGAAGAUACCUGUAGAGCAUCUUUAUAGUCACCCAGUUACGUUGCGACGUUUGAUACACACAAAGCAUUCCUCCGGUGUCCGUGAGUUAUAUGAUCUCAUGGUCAUAGGAACAAAUACUUGACACGCAGAAAACAGUAGCAACAAAAUGACACGAUCAACAUGCUACGUCUAUUAGUUUGGGUCUAGUCCAUCACAUGAUUCUCCUAAUGAUGUGAUCCCAUUAUCAAGUGACAACACUUGCCUAUGGCCAGGAAACCUUGACCAUCAUUGAUCAACGAGCUAGUCAACUAGAGGCUUACUAGGGACAGUGUUUUGUCUAUGUAUCCACACAAGUAUUGUGUUUCCAAUCAAUACAAUUAUAGCAUGGAUAAUAAACGAUUAUCAUGAACUAAGAAAUAUAAUAAUAACUAAUUUAUUAUUGCCUCUAGGGCAUAUUUCCAACAGUCUCCCACUUGCACUAGAGUCAAUAAUCUAGUUCACAUCACCAUGUGAAUCCAACACCCAUAUAGUUAUGGGGUCUGAUCACGUCUUGCUCGUGAGAGAGGUUUUAGUCAACGGUUCUGAAACUUUCAGAUCCGUGUGUUCUUUACAAAUCUUUAUGUCAUCUUAUAGAUGCUGCUACUAUGUGCUAUUCGGAAAUACUCAGAAUAUCUACUCUACUAUACGAAUCCGUUUCACUACUCAUAGUUUUUCGGAUUAGUGCCAAAGCUUGCAUCGACGUAACCCUUUACGACGAACUCUUUAACCACCUCCAUAAUCGAGAAAAAUUCCUUAGUCCAUUAGUUACUAAGGAUAAAUUUUGACCGCUGCUAGUGAUUCAAUCAUGGAUCACUCUCUGUACCUCUCAACAUACUUUGACUCAAGGCACACAUCACGUGCGGUACACAGCAUGGCAUACUUUAGAUCCUACGGCUAAGGCAUAGAAGACGACCUUCGUCUAUUCUCUUUAUUCUGCCGGGGUCGGGUUUUGAGUCUUUCUCAAAUUCACACCUUACAACGCAACCAAGAACUCCUUCUUUGUUGAUCUAUUUUGAACUCCUUCAAAAACUUGUCAAGGCAUGCAUCUUGUUGAAACUUCCAUUAAGCGCUUUUCGAUUUAUCUUCAUAGAUCUUUGAUGCUCAACGUUCAAGUAGCUCAAUCCAGGUAUUCCUUUGAAAACUCCUUUCAAACAACCUUGUAUGUUUUACAGAAAUUCUACAUUACUUCUGAUCCACAAUAUGUCAACCACAUAUACUUAUCAGAAAUUCUAUAGUGCUCCCACUCACUUCUUUGGAAAUACAAGUUUCUCAUAAACCUUGUACAAACCCAAAAUCUUUGAUCAUCUCAUCAAAGUGUAUAUUUCAACUCCGAGAUGCUUGCACCAGUCCAUUGAAGGAUCGCUGGAGCUUGCAUACUUGCUAGUACCUUUAGGAUCAACAAAACAUCCUGGUUGUAUCACAUACAAUGUUUGCUCAAAGAAACCGUUGAGAAAACAAUGUUUUGACAUCCGAUGUAGAAACCGUUGAGAAAACAAUGUUUUGACAUCCGAUGUGCAAUAUUUCAUAAAUAAUGCAUCAACAACUAACAUAAUUCUAACAGACCUUUAGCAUCGCUACGAGUGAGAAAGACUCAUCAUAGUCAACAGUUUGAUCUUGUCGGAAACAUCUUUGCGACAAGUCGAGCUUUUCUUAAUAGUGAUUUAUCACCAUCAUCGUCUGUCUUUCUUUUAAAGACCCAUCUUUACUCAAUAGUCCUCUCACCAUCAAGUAGUUCUUCCAAAGUCUACACUUUGUUUUCAUACAUGGAUCCUCUCUCGGAUUUCAUGGCCUCCAGCCAUUUGUCGGAAUCCGGGCCCACCAUUGCUUUCUUCAUAACUCGUAGGUUCACUGUUGCUCAACAACAUGACCUCCAAGACAUGGUUACCGUACCACUCUGUAGUAGUACGUGACCUUGUCAACCUACGAGGCUUGUAGUAACUUGAUCUGAUGCUUGAUGAUCACCAUCAUCAGCUUCCACUUCAAUUGGUGUAGGUGCCACAGGAACAACUUCCUGCGCCCUGCUACACACUGGUUGAAGUGAUGGUUCAAUAACCUCAUCAAGUUCUACCACUCUCCCACUCAAUUCUUUCGAGAGAAACCUUUCCUCGAGAAAGGAUCCGUUUCUAGAAACAAACACUUUGCUUUCGGAUCUGAGAUAGGAGAUGUACCCAACUGUUUUGGAUAUCCUAUGAAGAUGCAUUUAUCCGCUUUGGGUUCGAGCUUAUCAGACUGAAACUUUUUCACAUAAGUGUCGAAGCCCCAAACUUUCAAGAAACAACAGUUUAGAUUUCUCUAAACCUCAUUCUAUACUGUGUCAUCUCAACAGAAAUACGCGGUGCCCUAUUUAAAGUAAGUGCGGUUGUCUCUAAUGCAUAACCCAUACACGAUAGUGGUAAUUCGAUAAGAGACAUCAUAGUAUGCACCAUACCAAAUAGUGCGUGGCUAUGACGUUCAGACACAUCAUCACACUAUGAUGUUCCAGGUGGCAUGAACUGCGAAACAAUUUCCACAUUGUCUUAACUGCGUACCAAAACUCGUAACUCAGAUAUUCAUUUCUAUGAUCAUAUCGUAGACAGUUUAUCCUCUUGUUACGACGAACUUCACUCCGAAACAGAAUUGAACUUUUCAAUAUUUCAGACUUGUGAUUCAUUAAGUAAAUACUCUAGUAUCUACUCAAAUCGUCAGUGAAGUAAGAACAUAAUGAUAUCCACUGCGUGCCUCAGCACCCAUUGGACUGCAUACAUCAAAAUGUAUCACUUCCAACAAGUUACUAUCUUAUUUCAUCUCAAUGAAAACAAGGCCUUGCUCAUGUGGUAUGAUUCGCAUGUCACUAGUGAUUCGAAAUCAGGUGAGUACAAAGAUCCAUCAGCAUGGAGCCUCUUCAUGCAAUUUAUACUAACAUGACUCAAGCGGCAGUGCCACAAGUAAGUGGUACUAUCAUCAUCAACUCGUAUCUUUUGGCACCAAUAUCAUGAACAUGUGUAACACUACGAUCGAGAUUCAAUAAACCAUUGAAGGUGAUUAUUCAAGAAAACAGAGUAACCAUUAUUCUCUUUAAAUGAAUAAUCGUAUUGCAAUAAACACGAUCCAAUCAUGUUCAUGCUUAACGCAAGGACCAAAUAACAAUUAUUUAGGUUUAAUACCAAUCACGAUGGUAGAGAGAGCGUGCGACGUUUGAUCAUAUCAACCUUGGAAACACUUCCAACACGUAUCGUCACCUCGCCUUUAGCUAGUCUCCUUUAUGCCGUAGCUUUCAUUUCGUGUUACUAAUCACUUAGCAACCGAACCGGUUGUUGGAAAUAUGCCCUAGAGGCAAUAAUAAAUUAGUUAUUAUUAUNNNNNNNNNNNNNNNNNNNNNNNNNNNNNNNNNNNNNNNNNNNNNNNNNNNNNNNNNNNNNNNNNNNNNNNNNNNNNNNNNNNNNNNNNNNNNNNNNNNNCUCCCACUUGCACUAGAGUCAAUAAUCUAGUUCACAUCACCAUGUGAAUCCAACACCCAUAUAGUUAUGGGGUCUGAUCACGUCUUGCUCGUGAGAGAGGUUUUAGUCAACGGUUCUGAAACUUUCAGAUUCGUGCGUUCUUUACAAAUCUUUAUGUCAUCUUAUAGAUGCUGCUACUACGUGCUUUUCGGAAAUGCUCCAAAUAUCUACUCUACUAUACGAAUCCGUUUCACUACUAAUAGUUAUCCGGAUUAGUGUCAAAGCUUGCAUUGACGUAACCCUUUACGACAAACUCUUUAACCACCUCCAUAAUCGAGAAAAAUUCCUUAGUCCAUUAGUUACUAAGGAUAAAUUUCGACCGCUGCUAGUGAUUCAAUCAUGGAUCACUCUCUGUACCUCUCAACAUAUUUUGAGUCAAGGCACACUUCAGGUGCGGUACACUGCAUGGCAUACUUUAGAUUCUACGGCUAAGGCAUAGAAGACGACCUUUGUCUAUUCUCUUUAUUCUGCCGUGGUCGAGUUUUGAGUCUUACUCAAAUUCACACCUCACAACGCAACCAAGAACUCCUUCUUUGCUGGUCUAUUGUGAACUCUUUCAAAAACUUGUCAAGGCAUGCAUAUUGUUGAAACUUCUAUUAAGCGCUUUCGAUCUAUCUCCAUAGAUCUUUGAUGCUCAACGUUCAAGUAGCGUAAUCCAGGUACUCCUUUGAAAACUUCUUUCAAACAACCUUGUAUGCUUUACAGAAAUUCUACAUUACUUCUGAUCCACAAUAUGUCAACCACAUAUACCUAUCAGAAAUUCUAUAGUGCUCCCACUCACUUCUUUGGAAAUACAAGUUUCUCAUAAACCUUGUACAAACCCAAAAUCUUUGAUCAUCUCAUCAAAGUGUAUAUUCCAACUCCGAGAUGCUUGCACCAGUCCAUUGAAGGAUCACUGGAGCUUGCAUACUUGCUAGUAUCUUUAGGAUCGACAAAACCUUCUGGUUGUAUCACAUACAAUGUUUGCUCAAGGAAACCGUCGAGAAAACAAUGUUUUGACAUCCUACGUGACAUAUUUUAUAAAUAAUGCAUCAACAACUAACAUAAUUCUAACAGACUUUUAGCAUCGCUACGAGUGAGAAAGUCUCAUCAUAGUCAACUGUUUGAUCUUAUCGAAAACAUCUUUGCGACAAGUCGAGCGUUUCUUAAUAGUGACUUAUCACCAUCAUCGUCUGUCUUCUUUUACAGAUCCAUUUUUACUCAAUAGUCCUAUGACCAUCAAGUAGUUCUACCAAAGUCUACACUUUGUUUUCACACAUGGAUCCUCUCUCGGAUUUCAUGGCUUCCAGCCAUUUGUCGGAAUCUGGGCCCACCAUCGCUUUCUCCAUAACUCGUAGGUUCACUGUUGCUCAACAACAUGACCUCCAAGACAGGGUUACCGUACUACUCUGCAGUAGUACGCGACCUUGUCGACCUACGAGGUUUGUAGUAACUUGAUUCGAAGCUCAAUGAUCAUCAUCAUCAGCUUCCACUUCAAUUGGUGUAGGCGCCACAUGAACAACUUCCUGCGCCCUGCUACACACUGGUUGAAGUGAUGGUUCAAUAACCUCAUCAAGUUCUACUACCCUCCCACUCAAUUCUUUCGAGAGAAACCUUUCCUCGAGAAAGGAUCCGUUUCUAGAAACAAACACUUUGCUUUUGGAUCUGAGAUAGGAGAUGUACCCAACUGUUUUGGAUAUCCUAUGAAGAUGCAUUUAUCCUCUUUGGGUUUGAGCUUAUCAGACUGAAACUUUUUCACAUAAGUGUCGAAACCCCAAACUUUCAAGAAACGACAGUUUAGAUUUCUGUAAACCUCAGUGUAUACUGUGUCAUCUCAACGGAAAUACGCGGUGCCCUAUUUAAAGUGAGUGCCGUUGUCUCUAAUGCAUAACCCAUAAACGGUAGUGGUAAUUCGAUAAGAGACAUCAUAGUAUGCACCAUACCAAAUAGUGCGUGGCUAUGACGUUCAGACACAUCAUCACACUAUGAUGUUCCAGGUGGCAUGAACUGCGAAACAAUUUCCACAUUGUCUUAACUGCGUACCAAAACUCGUAACUCAGAUAUUCAUUUCUAUGAUCAUAUCGUAGACAGUUUAUCCUCUUGUUACGACGAACUUCACUCUGAAACGGAAUUGAACUUUUCAACAUUUUAGACUUGUGAUUCAUUAAGUAAAUACUCCUGUAUCUACUCAAAUCGUCAGUGAAGUAAGAACAUAAUGAUAUCCGCUGCGUGCCUCAGCACCCAUUGGACUGCAUACAUCAAAAUGUAUCACUUCCAACAAGUUACUAUCUUAUUUCAUCUCAAUGAAAACAAGGCCUUGCUCAUGUGGUAUGAUUCGCAUGUCACUAGUGAUUCGAAAUCAGGUGAGUACAAAGAUCCAUCAGCAUGGAGCCUCUUCAUGCAAUUUAUACUAACAUGACUCAAGCGGCAGUGCCACAAGUAAGUGGUACUAUCAUCAUCAACUUGUAUCUUUUGGCACCAAUAUCAUGAACACGUGUAACACUACGAUCGAGAUUCAAUAAACCAUUGAAGGUGAUUAUUCAAGAAAAUAGAGUAACCAUUAUUCUCUUUAAAUGAAUAAUCGUAUUGCAAUAAACACGAUCCAAUCAUGUUCAUGCUUAAUGUAAGCACCAAAUAACAAUUAUUUAGGUUUAACACCAAUCCCGAUGGUAGAGGGAGCGUGCGACGUUUGAUCAUAUCAAUCUUGGAAACACUUCCAACACGUAUCGUCACCUCGCCUCUAGCUAGUAUCCGUUUAUGCCGUAGCUUUCAUUUCGCGUCACUAAUCACUUAGCAACCGAAUCGGUAUCCAAUACCCUCGUGCUACUAGGAGUACUAGUAAAGUACACAUCAACAUCAUGUAUAUCAAAUACACUUCUUUCGACUUUUGCCAGCCUUCUUAUCUACCAAGUAUCUUGAGUUGCUCCGCCUCAGUGAUUGUUCCCCUCAUUAUAGAAGCACUUAGUCUCGGGUUUGGGUUUAAUCUUGGGUCUCUUCAUUAGUGCAGCAACUGUUUUGCCGUUUCACGAAGUAUCCCUUCUAGCCCUUGCCUUUCUUGAAACUUAGUGGUUUUACAGACCAUCAACUAUUGAUGCUCCUUCUUGAUUUCUACUUUCGCAGUGUCAAACAUCGCGAAUCGCUCAAGGAUCAUUGUAUGUAUCCUUGAUAUGUUAUAGUUCAUCACGAAGCUCUCACAGCUUGGUGGCAGUGACUUUGGAGAACUAUCACUAUCUCAUCUGGAAGAUUAACUCCCACUUGAUUCAAGCGAUUGUCGUACUCAGACAAUCUGAGCACAUGCUCAACGAUUGAGCCUUUUCUCCUGUGCUUUGUGGACAAAGAAUCUUGUCGGAGGUCUCGUACCUCUUAACAAGGGCACAAGCAUGAACUCACAAUUUCAUCUCUUUAGAACAUCACUUAUGUUCCGUGACGUUUUACAACGUUUUCGGCGCCUUGCUUCUAAGCCAUUAAGUAUUUUUGUACUGAACUAUCGUGUAGUCAUCAGAAACGUGUAUGUCGGAUGUUCACAGCAUCCACAGACGACGCUCGAGGUGCAGCACACCGAGUGGUGCAUUAAGGACAUAAGCCUUCUGUGCAGCAACGAGGACAAUCCUCGGUUUUACAGACUCAGUCUGCAAAGUUUGCUACUAUCAACUUUCAACUAAAUUUUCUCUAGGAACAUAUAAAACAGUAGAGCUAUAGCGCAAGCUACAUCGUAAUUUCGCAAAGACCAUUAGACUAUGUUCAUGACAAUUAGUUAAAUUAAUCAUAUUACUUAAGAACUCCCACUCAAAAAGUACAUCUCUCUAGUCAUUUGAGUGGUACAUGAUCCAAAUACACUAUCUCAAGUCCGAUCAUCACGUGAGUCGAGAAUAGUUUGAGUGGUAAGCAUCUCUAUGCUAAUCAUAUCACCUAUACAAUUCAUGCUCGACCUUUCGGUCUCAUGUGUUCCCAGGCCAUGUCUGCACAUGCUAGGCUCGUCAAGCUUAACCCGAGUGUUCCGCGUGCGCAACUGUUUUGCACCCGUUGUAUGUGAACGUUGAGUCUAUCACACCCGAUCAUCACGUGGUGUCUCGAAACGACGAACUGUAGCAACGGUGCACUGUCGGGGAGAACACAAUUUCAUCUUGAAAUUUUCGUGAGAGAUCACCUCAUAAUGCUACCGUCGUUCUAAGCAAAAUAAGGUGCAUAAAAGGAUUAACAUCACAUGCAAUUUAUAAGUGACAUGAUAUGGCCAUCAUCACGUGCUUCUUGAUCUCCAUCACCAAAGCACCGGCACGAUNNNNNNNNNNNNNNNNNNNNNNNNNNNNNNNNNNNNNNNNNNNNNNNNNNNNNNNNNNNNNNNNNNNNNNNNNNNNNNNNNNNNNNNNNNNNNNNNNNNNAAUACGACUCACUAUAGGGCGAAUUCUUUACCGAGCGAGGACAAGCAGACUUCACCAAAGAGGAAUUCAACAAGCAGAUAUGUAUACAUAAGGGGAAUGAGUCAGUCUUGACAACUGUUAAUCUAGUAAAUGGUGCAGCCUAUAUUGGUUCAGUCAUAUUUACAGAGAGCUCCCAGAGGAAAAGGUUAAGAUUGACAGCACGAGCGAAAGGACAGGAUCCCGCGGUCAGAGUUCAAGAAGCAAUCACUGAUCCUUUUGUUGUCAAAGUCGGCCGAAGUAAACGUGAGUAUAUCCAAUUAUCCAUUCUGAACAUGAAACCUUUUUAACUAUAUUACAUGGAAAUUUUAAUACACUCUUUAAUUUUUUUUCAUUCUAUGAAACGUUUACUGUUUAGAUAGUUGGCAGAAGAACAUGCUUGCUGAUUUUAAGGGAAAAAAUGUUAAAGAACACAUCAUAUCUUUGAGAAACUUUUAUGGCCUUUGUGCAAUGACAUUAUUUUAUCUGAAAAUAUGAAGUCUUAGCACUAAAUGUUCUACUUUUAGAAGGGAAUGUUCCGCCACAAAGUUUGGUUCAAAAAGGAGAUGCUCAGGCGCCUUGCCUAGUGCAUAAACGGAAGUCUGUAACUAGACGGGCCAAGCGAGAAAUUGUCAACUCCAGCGAGAGAUCGGGCCAUAUUGCACUGACAGCCUAUGGUACUCAAAUACAUCAUGAUAGUGAAAACUGUAUGACCGCCCAAGCGAAGGCCAAUCACUUCGCAUGUGCCUAGCGCUAUUUUUAACCUGGCAAAGCUGUUUGAAGUACUGUCACUUAGAUUUGGGAGUUGGGACCGUAAUUUUCUUGGGUCAUUACAUAUUUUAUUUUGAGUUAUGUAUUAGGUCGUAGAUUAAUAAUAAGCAUGGUAGAUCAGUUUAUAAUUUACCAUGUACAUUAAUCCUUUCCUGAAUACCAUAAUCAUCAGAUGCAAUGGUAGCCAGAAUGAACCAAUUGCAUAUUAGCAAUCUUGUCUUAACACAUCCAAUAUUUUUUGUUUACUUUCAGAAAACAGAAAGAGUUAUCCUCCAUCUAAAGAAGAAGCGGUAUACCGUUUGGAGAAGAUUUCCCUAAAGGGGAAACAUUGUACCCUCCUUGCUGAAAAGAAUAUUACUACGGUGAAGCAAUUCAUGCGUCAUUAUUACAGAGAUGAAUCUUGUCUCCAAAAGGUAAAUAUACAGUUAUAAUUAUGUUUCUACAAGCUUCAGCGUUUCAAUUUACCUGCACAAUAAUUGUCAUGGAUCGGAAAUAAAAUAUCCCACAUCUCCUAGGAUUAACUUUGACUACAUGUAAUUCUAUAUGUAUUCAUGUGCACUACAUGUAAUUAAAUGCUAAGUCAACUCUUUGUUUCUGGCAAUUAGCUUCUUGACAUGAAGGAGGAUUGGAGUACCUUGAUUAAACAUGCCACCACGUCUGAUCCUGGGGUUGAGAUCUAUUCUUUUAUUGUUGUGGAAGAAAAUACUGAACUCUUAUUCAAUGAUUUCUACAAUCUUGUUGGUAUAAUGAUCAGGGGACGCUAUUUUCAUGUCAAUGUCCUUGAUCAGUUUCAGCAGGUAUACUUUUAACACUGUUCCAUUGCCAUUGCAAUUAGGCUGUUGAUUCACUACGAUAAUAGUGUUCUGACAAUUAUCCUCAAAAUGUUGUCACGGUUACGAGGUUUAUAGCAAGAUUUACAUUUGGAAAUUGGGUUGCUUCCUAAUGUCAUUGUGAAUAGCUAACCUAACUUUGGCAUUGCUAAACCGAAACAGGGUAAAAUGGUGUUAUUGUACGUAUAGUUAGGACCAAGGCAUGGAUUCUAAAUAAAUUCUUAUGUCGAGCCUCUGUUUUUACUGCAGAGUUUAUUUUCACCUAUAUGUAUAUGCAUUCGUGAUGAAGUAUGUGUUGUUAUUCAAUUUGUUUCCCCAAUAUCUAGAAACCUAGAAGAAAUAUAUGGAGCAGUUGGAUUGCCACCUUGCGGUGUUUCUGUGCCUGCACCGUGUAAACCCACUGAAACACAGUGGAUUUAACGAAGGAGGAUCUAACUGCUGCCCUAAUACACUUAGUUGAAAAUCUUUAAAACGAUGAGGGAAAAUAUAAACACUAUUAUCACCAAAAGAUGAGCUCAAGUAUUCCUUUUUGAUGAUUAGAAGGUUUCAAAAAGGUCUGAGCAUUGAAGCCUUUCUGUACACAAAACAAUAAGCAAAAGCAUAUGCUUGCACAUUAUGACGGCGAUGACAGAAAUAAAACAUUUUUUACAGAUUAAAGUCAACAACUGGAAAAUGUCCGCGUAUAAGAAAUUUGACGAGCGGGAGAACUCAGGGGGUCUUAACCCUGAUUACUUCAUGACCGAUGGUGGCCCUGUCAGUGCAUUGCCUCUGAACAAUGAUGCAGGUCCUUCCGUACAAGCUGGAACGCUGUGGCAAUAUCAUAAUGGCAAGGCUGCACAACACGGUGAAUUUUAGUAUAUUGUUCCAUUUCUGAUCCUGGUCGCUACAUGUUUAUCUAAAUUCAGCUGACUGCAGAAGUUGGAGAUCGACAUCCAUUGAAUGGGUUGUCACGGGCCGCAGUCCUAUCAAACAAUGACGUUGGCCCUUCAAGCCAAGAAACACUGCCGUUUCCACAGCACAUGUAUGAACAGACUGCGUAUCAGGGUCAGUAUCACACAUCCUCUAUACUUAAAUUAUUGCUUCAUCGCGACUUUUUGUUGUUGCUGAAUUCUGAUAGUUUUGGGGAUUAACUUACUGUAGGACCUGGUGAGCAUGAUCCUUCUGUGCCACAGAAUGGAGCUCCUUACUCUCUGCAUCAGGGAAAUAUCUUAAAUGAUCAGGGACCAUUAUCAGCACAGCCAACUAUUCCAUCCCACAAUUUUUCACCAGUAAGAAAAGUUACAUAUGGCACAGGCACAAUCAACAGUUCCAUCCUGCAUUUUUUCAUUGACAACCUGAAUUGUUUUGUGGAUUGUAGGUUCGACAGGAUGACAUGAUCGCAGAUGCAAGUCAAAGUGGGUUUACUUCAUUUGAUGUAUGUGUUCUUUUGAAUAAGUAUCUUUGCGCAGACUAUGGCUUUAAGCUUUUUCCUUUGUUAUUAUGUCAUGAUAGUGUUUGUUCUUGCAGGUCGAGGAAUGGCUGAAUCUACCAAUAGAUGAGGCAGACCAUGGAAUUGUACCACCUAACAAUGGUAUGCAGUUUCGAAAUUUCAGUACCCAUGGGAACGACAACGAAAAGCCGAUAAUGUAUGCAAUUUUCAAUGCCAUAGCGAUAACUUCUGUUGAUAUAAGCUCAGCUGCUAAAUCAUGGAGCUUGUGUUAGUAUGAUGCAAUCAUAUUCAACAGCCUGAACUCUUCCCAUUUCGAUCUUGGAUGAUAGCAAAUUGAUGUUUGACUUCAUAAAAUCUAGAGUGUGUAUGCUUGCCUGAUGAAUACCAAACUGUUGCUUAAAAGUUAAAUUUGGGCCUGGAUUUAAGAUCUUCCUCUCGAUCCGUGCGCUGAUGUCGUGUUUCUUUCAUUUCAGCAGAACUGCCGAAUUCCAACAUCCCAUUUGACGGUGAUGGACAUGAUGGUGGCAACCAGUGAUAGAUUAAACUUGAGAGACCACUGCAACAAGCUUAAUUUGCUCCACUAGACCCAUGAUGGAGGUAGUCGGUGAUUGAAGUAUUCGGUGUGAUUAAACAUUUCGCGUGUACAUAUUAUUCAGUGAUUGCUUAAUUUGCUAUUGGUUGUAGUAGACAUUUGGCUUGCAUUCUUAAAAGCAAUUCUUUGUGUAAUCCUGUUAAUCCAUCCUUUCCUAAGUUGAGCAAAUAUUCAUAUUGCACAGCUUGCUUGGUGUAAUAUUGUUAAUCCAUCUUCUUCUAAGUUGAGUUUUUCCUAUGUAUGUUCACACAUUUUCACUCGUACUAUGUUGUGCAUCAUGAAAUCCGAAAAUUUGAACAUGGUAAAAUACACAGAAGAGAAGAGGAGAGAGAGAGAGAGAGAGAGAGCAUGCUAGUUGUACUACAAGACUUCAGUUUCUUAAAUACCACAGAGCUUCCAUUCCUCCUACACCAAGCCCACAUAGAUCGACACAAGAUACAUCAGCGAAAGCAAGCAAGAACACAAGAUACAUCAGCUAGUUGAGCCAUGGUAGUAUGACAGAGAUGCGAAGCAGAGCAGAGGGGGGGGGGGGGGGGGAGGGGGGGGGGGGGGGGGGGGGGGGGGGGGCAACCCCAGCAGAGCAGAUUCAGGCAUGGAUGCAGAGUUCACCUGAGUUGGGAGGGACAGACUAGCGAACCAUGGAAUGCAAGCAGGGCCGCUAAUUAGUAGCCGAUGUCGGCGCCGUCGUCGAACGAAGGUCGCCGUUGAUGCUGCUGGGGAUAGGUAUCGAUCACGCGGUGGUGUGGGCUGAAGCUUUCUGGUCAAGAUCCGAGAAGGAGACGCCUCAACCUGGCGAGAUCCCGGCUCCCGUUGCUGCUCUCUCGGAGAUGGAUCUCAUCUGGAUUUCGGAUGUUGAGGGCAAGCAGUAUAUAUAGAGCAGAAUUUCCAAGGAAAUGCCCGUUUGCCUUGUCGCCUGAGUGUAACUUGCUGGUUUGGUCGCAACCUUUGUACGAGCAGCCGAAUGAACAGGAACGGGUACAGACCACAUUUUCUUGACUCAUGCGUGGGCGGUGUAAACAAAGUCUUCUUAUGCGCAACCGGUCCAAGUUCAGAGUGCUGAAGUCCCCUCACGGGUGCGAAUCAUCGGAUGCCAAACGGGUUAGAGCAUCUCCAACAGCCUUCCAAAACGUGCUCCACACGUUAAAUGAUUCGUUUUUUUGCGUCGGACAACUUCAAUAAAAGCUGUAAAAUUAUACACGUGCUGAAAAGUAUUGAUCACGCGCUGAAAAACAUUAUCUCGUGCAGUAUAUUUGAGGCGCCGGCUUGCGCAAGCUUCACAAUUUGCACUGUGUGCUUUUCGAACGCGCGUUUUUUGGCAUCUGCUAAUUCAACGUUGGUCCCCGCAUAAUAAAAAUGCUACAAUGACGCACUGAAACUUUUAUUGGACGCGAAUCUUUUGCGCAGCUGUUGAAGAUGUUCUUACAACUUUCUCAUAAACAUCUAGUUUGCAGCUGCCUUUUCACAACAGAUUUUUCACAGCAGCUUUCGAAAAAUCCAUAGCCCAACCAAACACCACCUAAAAACCAGAUUGGGCUUCGGAUAGAGAGAGAAAAAAAAUCGGUGACCCUGCCGGUUUUGUAAGCUGUGCGGACCCCUCGCGCAGCCGACGCAACACAACGCGGCAUGUACUCCUCGCGCGAGCCCAUUGCCCCGGGCUCUAGUCCCAUAAUUUUACUAUACCGGUCCCAUAAUGUUUUUUUUGGUCGUUAAUGUUAGAGGUUGGGUUGUAUAUCUACAGGACUGAUCUGAUCAAACCAUGCAAGCUGGGUACUCAAUUCUGUCCAAGCUAAACGAGGGUUCUGCAGUCCGUGUUGCUGCAUGUUCUCAGUUUUUUUUAUUGCUGUUGAGGGAACUAUAUAUAUGUUCUCAGCUAAGCAAGAGAAUUACCUGAAUUAACUUUGUGAAAAUUGUGAGAUGGCUGAAUAUUAUGUUUCUUGUUGUUUGUGUUGUAUUGCUCUGAUCCUUGUAGGGGUAUAUAUAGGAGUACAUGGGGUAGAGGCUUGGAGUACAAGACAAGUUACAUGUGAUUUAAACUGAUUAUAUCUCUAUUUCCUUAUCUCUAACUUAAACCCACAUAUAUUUCUAACAUUCCCCCUCAGUCGUAGCGGGGGUGAAGCGGAUGCUUGCGACUGAAUUUAAAGUCUUGCACCUUUGUCAUCUUCUCCACCGCGUCAUUAUCAACUGCGUCUCUGAUGGGUCGGCACCUAGGACGGUGACCGCGUCCCCUUUUGGUGUCUUUCUUGUCUCUCAUCUAUUCCCUCCCGCAGUCACAGCGGGAGUGGUGUGGAUGCUAGUGGCGAUGUAGACGUUGUUGACUGGAGUUGUUGCCCAUGAGUUGUUGUAGACGUAGCCAUUAUUGUCGAUGUCGAGGUAGCCGAUCAUGAUGGUGUAGCCGUGGUCGAGGUAGUCAUGGUCGAUGUGUGAUCGUUGUGGAUGAUGAAGCCACACAAAGACAGAGGCGCAAAAAAUGCGCUAUGACGGAGCUGCAGACGUGGACGAUGCACCUUGCGAAUGUCAGAGGGUGUCGUCGACGAUGAGUCCACCGGUUUUGCCAGGACCGGAGGAAACCAUCGAGCACACAUCGGUUUUGCCAGAACCGAGAGGCCGUAUACGGGUCGUCACUAUAGUGACGCCGUGUCGAUGCAGUCGUGCCGUCAUCGAUGACGUGGUUGAUGUCGACGUCGUGACGCGGUCAUUGCCGUCGUCGAGGUCGCGUCUUGCAAAAAAGUCUGCCAGAGGACGCUAGGUGUCCAUUUUGUGGACGAGGUGGCGACAGUGUGUUGACGAUGAUGGUGAUGAAGGCCACGUUGAUGAAGACCUUGGCGAUGAAGUGUCGGCGAUAAUGUGUCGCUUGAAGGCGUCCCUUGCGGCGACCAAGUGUAGAUGCCUUGCCGCGCCGGAGAAGUCGAUGAAUAAUUGCAUCACUUUCCACACCGGCCCGGCAUGUGGAUGAUGCAUGUUGAUGUCGCUUCUUGUAGAUGUACUCGACGAGGACGAGGAUCUUUUUAGGGUGAUGUAAUCAUACAACUCGGUGUCGUGGCGGUGCAAGGUCGGUGGAGAUCACUCGGUGCAGGUAAUGUCGUGUUGAUGGCUCGGUGAAGAUAGCAUCCGUGCUCGUGCGUAGAAGUCGAAGACCUGAAGGUCCGACGUUUGCUGUUGUUGGCGUAGAUCGGAUCGCUGGGAGCUGCAUGCGGCAUCAGGCCUGCACGCACAUGGUAUGCGCUGCCUCGGAGUAGACUCGCCGGCCCUUCCAAAGUCCCGCACGCGAUGUGACACGAUGCCGCGAUUGGAAUCGAGGGCGGGUGGCGCCGGUCCAUCUUUCCUUCCCAGGCCACGCCUGCUGAGUGUUUGGAUCGGCCGGCUGCUCCAGGGAGUAUGUUCGAGCAUCCAAUAAUAUGGGUUCUAGUCCCAUAAUUUUACCAUACCGGUCCCAUCUAUUUGGUACUACUUAUCAGUACUUUGAUUUUGGUACCUCCUAUUUUUCUACCACUAGAUUAAUUUAAUUGAGUGACCCUUAUUUGUGAGUAGUCAAUCGUUUUUUUCUACCACUAGACUAAUCUUAGUGAGCGGGGGGAUUUUACCACUCAAUGUUCGGACAUAUUGGAUUCACAAUAAUAAUGUCUGCAACGAUCUGAAUUUUUCCUUAUGUAAUCAUUCCCAAUUUUUAUUUCUUUGAGAAGGGCGCGAUAGAGAACAAAUCAUUUUCAGUUUGAUCGAACUAAAAUUAUUUCAAAACUAGUGCCCAUAGAGAAACUAAAAUUAUUUUGAAACCGGUGUUCAUAUAGAAACUAGAAAUAAUAAGAGACUAAAAACAUUCGCAAGUUGGAAGAAAGCUAGGAAUGAGCUGCCGUCUCUUAUUAGGCCGACAAAAAACUAGAAAAUUUCCUCUUAGGAAUAGCAAGAGGAACUAGAAAAUUUAGGACCCUGAUAAGUGUCAGACGUACACGUGAUAACUCCGAACGUUUUUAAGGAUUUACUAGAUCUCUCAGAAAAGUAUGUGUUGAAGGAUUUGACUGCUCAAAUAUGUUGGAAUUAGAUUAUUCAAAUUUUUUAUACAUAAUCAUUCCUACUCCCUCCGUUCCUAAAUAUAAGUCUUUAAAAUGGUUUCAUCAAUGGACUACAUAGAGAUGUAUAUAGACAUACUUUAGAGUGUAGAUUCAUUUAUUUUACUCCGUAUGUAGACUCCUAGUGAAAUAUCUUAGAAGACUUAUAUUUAGGAACUGAGGGGGUAUUUUUUUUCCUUACAAAAUCGAAAAGCACAAUAAAGAGCCUACGUCCUUAUAUAUUUUUGGCGGGAAACAUCCAGAAACUCUAGUUGAUGUCCAAUUGGCUUCAGAGUUCAGUCUUUUUUAUUUGCCAGUUUUAAUUCUCCGAACACUAUUUCUCUGGUUUGGCGCCCGUUCUGAGACUGUUCGGAGAUACUUAAACCUUGUUUUUUACUUUUUACCAAGAACAAGAAGGGACAAAACUAAAUUCAUCCAGCAGCAUCUUCAUUUCUUACUACUGCAGAUAAACUCAUGUAUAGUAUUACAAUCCGCCCAUGCAUGCUAGCUAGCGAAGAAAAGUCUCGGUGGUGUAAAUCGAAACCGCGUUCAGCUUUCCACAAAGAAGCGCAUACCCGUUUGGAGGAUUGGAGACUUGCUGAUCUGCCGGUAAUCUCGAUGAAAUGCAAUCCCGCUAAACUGCCCAGAACAUCCCCUGAAACCCCACGGAAAAUGGAUGGAAAAGGCACGGAAAAACAGGUCUCCGCACCCCUGAUCCCCCGAGAGUCCUACGCCGCGAAGUCAAGUCUCCGCUCUGCUCCCCCGGCCGUCUACGCGCUCCGGCCGCUUCAGUUUCCCCCAGAACUCCGUUUUUUUUUAAUCCGUCUAGCAGACGGAGAAGCAUCGCGGGGAUUACCCCGUCCGAUCCCCGCAAACGCGCGGGCCGCGUAGCGUCUCCAUCGUUCACACACACAUGCAUGCAUACGAAUUCUUCAGCUAAUGGCGGCUUGUGUUAUGCCUAUAUAUCCUGCCGGCCUCCCGCCAUUUCCUGUUCCUCAAGUUCGCGCGCGCUAGCUAGCAGGCUGCAGCCUCUCACUCGCCACCAUUGUUGUUUAAUUUCAUUCAGAGGGACGGUCGAUGCAUCAAGCUGGUUUGUACGUACCUUUUUGUAUAUAAGUUGCGAUGCAUUAACUGACGGUCUGUGCAUUUUCUCGGCGCAGGAGCACUACGAAGAUCGCCAGCCAACCAGCCAUAUUUAUUACCCCGGCCUCUGCAUCACAUGCAUGAUGCACACGGCCAACGGGACAUAUGGCCGUGUAAUUCUGUCGUUAAUGUUACCGGAAAGAUUGUAUAUAUACAUGAUUGGUCAGUAACAAGAUGGUUACAUGAUUUCCGUUAGGCAAGAGAAUUAUUACUCACUCCUUAAAACAAAUAUAAAAGCGUUUACAUCACUAAAGUAGUGAUCUAAACGCUCUUAUAUUUCUUUAAGAAGGAAGUACUACCUCCGUCCGGAAAUACUUGUUCUAGAGAUGAAUGUAUCUAGACUUAUUUUAAUUGUAGAUACAUUCAUUAUAUGCAUUUUUAGGACAAGUAUUUCCGGACGUACGGAGUACCUUUUUCACAUGCAGAGGGCGGAAUGCUGGGACCAAAAUAUCUAACGAGUCUGCCAUAUGAGAAUAGUUCAACAAUCUGGAACUGGCCUUAGCAAGCGAAGAAGAACAGAUCUAACAAAACUUACGUGGUGAUUUGGGCAUUAACUUCGUCAAGAUUGUCUCGGACUUGCAAUUUUAAAGGGUAGUCAUGGCACUUCAUCAAUGCUACUUGUGGAUUGAACCAGGAGGAAGAUGCUCCCAAACUAUCAGAUCAUGGUGAAUAGUGGGAGGAUAGGCACGGCGAAGAAGAGAAAAAAAAAGUCAGUUUGAAGCCUUCUAGGAUUCUAGAUCAAAACAUUUAACUGACAGGUGGGAAGGAUUUGUGCCAAGACCAGCUGGCCAACGUGGUGUCACACUCAAAAUGUCAUUACUGCACAAUUUGGCACCUAGCUACAUGCCUACAUGUGUGCUCGUGACUAAAAUGAGUCGCCUAUGGGGUGAAUAUCCAGUGAUACGGGAGAAUAUCCAUUGCUCCCGGAGCACCUAAGCUUAGGUGCUCCCAUGCGAGCUCGGCCAUUACAUCGUGAUUCAAUGGGCAACAUCACGCAAUGUGGACCAAACCGUCAUUUCAAGAAUGUUCGGGGGAGGAGGGGGGGGGGNNNNNNNNNNNNNNNNNNNGAGUCGUGGUGGGGGGUGCUGGAAACAUUCAUGCUGAAUUUAUCUUUUUUGUUUCUUGAUGUUUGUUUUGAAUUUGUAUUUGAUUUUUUAGGGAUUGCAAACUCAUGUGAUGUGUGAACAUCCAAUUUAUUUCGUAAUUUAUUGAAACAUUUAAAAUUGUUUUUUAAUUGUAUCAUGAGAGUAUUUAGGGUGUGGUAUCACUGGAUAUUCAUGUCACCUAUGUACUCCCUAUCAUUAUAUUAAUUUGAUGAUGUAAUAAUAUUAUUUUUACAAAACUGAUCAAAGCUUAUGAAGGUUGGCAAAACGGUGUUAGUAGUUACGUUUCAAAGUGCCAUGACCUAAAUGUAGUACUGGCAAUAGUUCAUAUGGACCUCAGGUGCGCUUUAUGCUUAAUCAAGUGUGCAAACAUAAGCAACAUUAGUUGAAAGGGGAUUUUCGUAUGAACUCAUGUUGGUACUUAGUUUUAUGAGGUGAACUAUUCAGCACUAUUGGAUGUCGUUGCCGGCAUCACCAUCCAUAGGUGUUGAUUCCUAGCAUGGACCAAUGUCCGGUUUCACCCCGCCCCUAGUUCACGCUCAACGUAAAAAAAACUCGUUCGCUCUGUUAGAUUGGGCGGUUGCUACAUUCCGUGUAGUGACUUCGUUCAAGGUAUUUUCCGUAAGACUUUGCCAUCUUGAUCUUUUUCAUGAAUUAGAUGAACGGUAUUUUUUGUAUGGUUGUAGAUUUUCUUUAACUCGGUAAGGGAUUAAAAAGUCUCGGAGCUGGUGUAGUUAUACCUUUCUGAUGUCACUUGCAAGCGUCGGAGCAGAGCUUUUCCAUGGCAUGACGCCAAACACAGCAUAGCGCCAUAUGCGCCCAAGGCAAACCAAAUCCUAAAUCAUAACCUAGUGGUACUAUAUACAACGCCCCCCACUGUCGCCCUCUUGGGGUUGCAGAUCCCUCGCUCCUACGCCGGUUGGCCUUGACAUCAACAUUUGGCCCACUGUCUCCCUCGUCAUAUUUUGGAAGUUGUGGGACUCUAGGAAUGCUCGUGUCUUUCACAACGAGAUACACUCAUCCAUAGAUACUCUCUGUAACAUCAUCUCAGACUUUACACUCUAGGCCUUUAGAUUUAAGGACAUUGUUAGCAGGGAGGCUGCCAUGUCUUGGCGUUUGUACACCUCCUUCCAUUGUCAUCCUUGAUAUAAUUUGCCCCUACGCCUUGAGUAAUAUUCAGCAAGGGACCCUCCCCUCCCCGGCGUGUUUGUUCAAAAAAAAAACGCCUCCCCACCACCACUCUGAUCGGCAAUGCUGUCGAAGNNNNNNNNNNNNNNNNNNNNNNNNNNNNNNNNNNNNNNNNNNNNNNNNNNNNNNNNNNNNNNNNNNNNNNNNNNNNNNNNNNNNNNNNNNNNNNNNNNNNAUCUAACAAUGACCUAUUAGCUCAGCUGGUUAGGUCGCACGUUCGAGACUUGCAUGGGCCAAUUUUCUUUGGCAUUUAUUUUUCCAUGGCGACGAACAGAGAGGAGGCAUGGAGACGGGGCCGUCGGACGCGCGCUCUCGCCCGCUGUCAAUGCCAACGUAGUGACCUUCCAUGACGGCUCCUCUGCCGCCGCGCCCCCAUACCUCCACCGUUUGCUCCCCCGUCCCUCCGCUCCUCAAUGUCCGUGCUUUCUCCGCUGUCACCGAAUCUGGACAAGAUCGACAGGAUCCAUUGCAUCUCGCGCGACACCCGGCUACAGCUGCUCGUCAGCCAUGCGGGCAGCACGGACGAGCUGCUCGUCGGGCAUGUGGGGGAACACGGACGAGCUGAUCGUCAGCGUCCAUCCCACAGGCCUGCUUCUGCUUCUGUUGCAACACAAAGAAAAGUGUAGUGGAGUAGGUACUGAUCCGCUCCAGAAACAGGGCACACAGCCAAACAGAUGUGCAGUAUAUUCGGAUAGACACUGAAAUAAAUGAUGGUUGUGACAAAAUCCAUGUACUGAAUAACUUACCAACAUUGCCACUGAAAGGAUCUCGAAUAGAUCACUGAAACAAAGGGCUCCCUACAGCCCGUCUGCCAAAUGCAACAGGCUAUGCAUGCCUCUUUUGUGUUGUUAUUACAAUCAUUAGUGUAGGUUUCAAAAAAAAAGUGAGUUGAUAAGACUAAGUUCGAAUUGUCAUAUUUAAUGGGUCAUAGUUUUUUAUUCCAAAAGAAGAUGUUACACAAAAAUACAUGAUUGAUUUGAUAAAUUUAGAUGUUACCAAAGGUCAUGCAUGUCUUUGCUGCAUGAAUUCAACCAAUUUUUCUUUGUUUGACCUGCUGUAUAAUGAAUGUAACUCAUUCCCCCACCUUGGAUCUAUCUUUGUUUCAGUUUAUUUUUUCUGAAAAUUGGUGCUACUUCCGAUUGCUCACAAUUCCAGUUUUGCUGAUAUGAUACAAGCCCUUGUUUCAGUUUUUUUUUCUGAAAAAAUAAUGUUACUAGCCAAGGAUUAGACCAACAAAUUUCAUGUUGCUGACUACAUAUACCUGGACAUUGUGGCUUUGACUUGGUUACGGUAAUUCUUGGGCAUGAUGCUAAAGUAAUUCUUGAAGUUUCAUGUAUUCUCCUCUUUCUUCAGUUAUCAAUUAGCUUAAUUGCAUACACAUGACUAGAUAUGCUUGCUGCACCUAAGUGUUUGUUCCGCAAUGAAUCGGUUGAAACGCAUGCAACAAACAUAUUUACUACUUCUUCCGUUCCUAAAUAUAAGAUCUUUUAAAGAUUAUAGUAUAAACUACAUACGAAUGCAUAUAAACAUAUUUUAGAGUGUAGAUUCAUUCAUUUUGCUUUGUAUGUAGUCUUCUAGUGAAAUGGCUAAAAGGUCUUAUAUUUAGGAACGGAGGGAGUAGUAGUUUCUACAAACCGUUUGUCCGACCACAACUUUGAUAAAAUUUGAGAAAACGUGCAUUACACGUUAGCAUUUACCUUAGCGAGGAAAAAAGAAAAAGCAAAUCGCCCACGAAGGCCUCCCUAAAGUCGGCAUCCAUCGGACCCGGAUCCGACGGCCGAGAAGAAACCCUAGCGCCCAUCGCUGUCCAUAUAUAGGGCCAUUCCUCCCGUCCGAACCCCUCCUCUCAGUCCCCCCCACCCCGCCGCCGCCCCCUCUCGGUUCCUUCUCCAUCCUUCCUUGGAGGUGAGCAUCCGAUCCUUUCCCCCUCCCUGCUUCGAUUCGUCGUCCGUUGUCUCGCAUAGCUUUCAGAUCUGCGUGCCUGCUUCUGUGCAGUAGCUGUGGCCUGCGAGUAGAUCGAGUUUUACUCUCUUUUUGAGGUGCUGCAUGUCGAUUUCCUCCGCGGUUUGAAGGAUUUUCUCUGCUGAGCACCGCGUUCUGUUUUGCGCGGGUGCCUGUGCUUAGUAGAGGUAAAUCUGCGGGUAGAUCUAGCCGCAGGUUCAUAUAUGCGCGGAUGCAUGACUUUUUUCGUCUUUAAUUUUGAUGAAUAUCUGUAAGCUCGUGCCGUAGCCUUGAUCUGUAGGUUUUUACUGUUUCUGUUCCGAUUUGGCGUCGAGGGAUGUUCCCGAAUCAUCUCCGUGCUUCGUUGCAUGUGUUGUUAGAUGGAUCCGUGUAGUACUUAGGGUUCUGUAGGAUCUUUGAGUUCUCUAGGAGAGUUGACAGCAUGAAUUUCAUCGUGUCCUUGUAUGGUGAUAAUUGAUUAGAUUUGUCUGUUGUUAGCGUUAUUACCGCAGUAAUUCUUAGAUCUAAGAAGUACCUGCAGACUGAUUGCUUCAAGUGUAAUUCCACCUCGUUAAAUGCAUCAUCUGCUUGUCUGUAUGGUCGUUUCACAUGUUCACUUGGAUCCGUUGUUUCCAUCACCUGCUUACCUUGAUGUUUCUGUUUGCUAGCUAAGCACGUUCAGCCAUGGGUAAGGAGAAGACUCACAUCAACAUCGUGGUCAUUGGACAUGUCGACUCCGGCAAGUCGACCACCACUGGCCAUCUGAUCUACAAGCUUGGAGGUAUUGACAAGCGUGUGAUCGAGAGGUUCGAGAAGGAAGCCGCUGAGAUGAACAAGAGGUCAUUCAAGUACGCCUGGGUGCUUGACAAGCUCAAGGCCGAGCGUGAGAGGGGUAUCACCAUUGAUAUUGCCCUGUGGAAGUUCGAGACCACCAAGUACUACUGCACCGUCAUUGAUGCCCCUGGUCACCGUGACUUCAUCAAGAACAUGAUUACUGGUACCUCCCAGGCUGACUGUGCUGUGCUCAUCAUUGACUCCACCACUGGUGGUUUUGAGGCCGGUAUCUCCAAGGAUGGCCAGACCCGCGAGCAUGCCCUCCUUGCUUUCACUCUUGGAGUGAAGCAGAUGAUCUGCUGCUGCAACAAGGUAUACAUGCCAUUCCACUUCCAAUGCUAAACAUCCUUUAAACUGAUUUGACAUUUGUCUAAGUCUGAUUAUCUUGCAACACUCAUUAGUUAUUCUAUAAUAUAUAUGUAGAUCGCCUUGUUGUAUCUAAUUUAGAUUUGUAGUGUUGUUCUACAUGCUUGAUGUGAAUACUCAGAGUUACUUAGGAAAUGCCCAGCUUCAGUAGUACUCCUGAAUUGUAUUGUAAUUAAUUAACUUUUGUCAUGUUGCCAAAUUUUGGGUGAUUUAAUAUCAUCACUUAACUGAUUAGUUCUCAUUGUAUCUUAAUUUAUAUGUUCUAAACAGCUUGCUUGCUCAUUAUCUCUUAUUCCUGCAACUUCCAUCACUUGAUUGCUAUACAUGUUCGCUGUUUCUUAUAUUUGUUUGCAUCACAUGUUCGCUGUUUCUUAUAUUUGUUUGCAUCUUUAUAUACUAGUAAUUCAGUUGUGUUGGUCUGAUGUGCUUGCUCUGGUUCUGUUACAGAUGGACGCCACCACACCCAAGUACUCGAAGGCCCGUUAUGAGGAAAUCGUCAAGGAAGUCUCUUCCUACCUGAAGAAGGUCGGCUACAACCCUGACAAGGUUCCCUUCGUCCCCAUCUCUGGGUUUGAGGGUGACAACAUGAUUGAGAGGUCCACCAACCUUGACUGGUACAAGGGCCCUACCCUUCUUGAGGCUCUUGACCAGAUCAAUGAGCCCAAGAGGCCCUCAGACAAGCCCCUGCGUCUUCCCCUUCAGGAUGUUUACAAGAUUGGUGGCAUUGGAACUGUGCCCGUGGGCCGUGUUGAGACUGGUGUCAUCAAGCCUGGUAUGGUUGUUACCUUUGGGCCCACUGGUUUGACAACUGAGGUCAAGUCUGUUGAGAUGCACCAUGAGUCUCUCCUGGAGGCGCUUCCCGGUGACAAUGUCGGCUUCAAUGUCAAGAACGUUGCCGUCAAGGAUCUGAAGCGUGGGUUUGUUGCAUCCAACUCCAAGGAUGACCCUGCCAAGGAGGCAGCCAACUUCACCUCCCAGGUCAUCAUCAUGAACCACCCUGGUCAGAUCGGCAAUGGCUAUGCCCCAGUGCUGGACUGCCACACCUCCCACAUUGCUGUCAAGUUUGCUGAGCUGGUGACCAAGAUCGACAGGCGAUCUGGUAAGGAGCUGGAGGCGCUGCCCAAGUUCCUCAAGAACGGUGAUGCUGGUAUCGUGAAGAUGAUUCCCACCAAGCCCAUGGUUGUGGAGACCUUUGCCACCUACCCUCCUCUUGGCCGUUUUGCCGUGCGUGACAUGAGACAAACGGUUGCUGUCGGUGUCAUCAAGGGCGUGGAGAAGAAGGACCCCACCGGUGCCAAGGUUACCAAGGCUGCCAUCAAGAAGAAAUAGGCGCUAUCUAGCUGAAGGAUUUUGUUCGCGGUCAUUGCUUUUGUUGCUUCAGACUCUUAUCCCGGGCGAGCAAUGAUCUGUCUGUCGUUUAAUUACUGUAUUUCUAUUCCUGCUUCUGCUAAACUCCUGUGCCCUGAGACUGAUUUGUUGUGAAAUGCAAGUUAUUAGAUUGCACUUGUUUUUCUGCUGCUUUUGCCAAAUGGUUGCAUGUUUCUGUCUAUCUGUUUUUUAUUUACAGAGGUUUGGUUUGCAUUUGUUGGUAUUGCCUGAAUGGUCUUGUUAUCUUCUGAGUUCUGGCGGCUGAGAUUGCUGGUAGUCUGCAGAACCUGGCUACAUCUGUAUUCAUGCCUGCAAUGCUUCUGAGUAACCACGUUUGAAUCUCAACCAUUAUUGGGUUUCUUCCUAAAUCCUGUACAGCGAGCUGCCUCUGUUAUUUUACGGAAAAAAUGCCAAUUUCGCAUGCUUUGUGUCUCCGUGUCUAAAUAUUUCACUACGGACUUGUUGUUCUAGAGAUGGUGGCUGGCUAGAGACCAACUUUCGGCCUCUCGCAGUCUUAAUGGGUUUUGGGCAAUUGUUGUUUUGUUCUGAACAAACCUGGCCUAGUUCAGCUCUUAAUAGAACUUCUGAUAGGCUGUGUGUAUUUUGUUAUGGUACCAAAUCAUGUUUAUCAUUUAUAUUCGUCUGUGUGACUAGCAAAAUGUUACGACACAAUUUGCUUUGAUGAUCUGGUUGUUUACCUCAGAUUCUUCUGAUUCUUGUCACCCUCCUAAUUUCUACUUUUCCCCUUCUCCAUCCUUCAGCCUGAGGAUUGAGGACCAGCUUGUUGAGGAUGGGACUCGAGCAGAUUUGGGUCAGUUGAUGAUUAUGUGGAUUAGGAUGACACCACAACUGAACAUCCAUAUUUUCGGCUGAUUCCCAUGCUCAGGCGCAAACUCAUUCUUUUGUUCUUGCCACUUAGUGCCAAACCGUGAGAAUUGUGAAAAUAAUAAUCUAUGUGAGAUAUGUAAAACCGUUGUAACUUUGAUUGUGUGCGCUCUCAGUUUGCGGUUUUGUGAGGAACUGUUCAUUUUUCUCGCGUGAGAUAAUUUGAACCUAUGAUAAUGUUGCUUAUGUGUGUAUAGCUUGCCAUUUGGGGCAGCGAAGAAUUGAUAAUUUUCCUUGCGCUCAGAUGUUUGAACUCGUGACAAAUUUGAUUAUGUGAUUUUUUACUUUCUCCCAAGAUUGGUUACGCGGGAAAUCGUAUGAGAAGUAUGUACGUGCAUUGCAUUGAAGGCUGAAAGAUAUAGAAUUGAUAAUUUUCCUUGCGCUCAGAUGUUUGAACUCGUAUUUGGGGCAGCGAAGAAUUGAUAAUUUUCCUUGCGCUCAGAUGUUUGCUCAGAUGCAGAUAUACUGAAAGCAAACAGAGAAUGCAUCCCAGCGUUCGAUCUCCCAGCUGGCUCAUUGUGAGUGUAUAGAGUGGAUCAGUGGAGUCGAGUGAACCUAGUUACGGAACGUACUGUCAAAUCAAGAUUUAGCGUGUAGAGCUAGUAAAGCAUGAACGUGGAGCAGAGUCAAGGAAUUAGAGGAGUGGAGGGGAUCCGAACACGCUCUAAGAGCAUCUCUAGUGGAACGUGUAAAUUUGAACGUGUAUAUCUUCAUAUACACGUCCAUAUACACCUUGUUAAAUUUUACACCUUUCAAUUUUUCAGUGAAACGUGUAUACACGACGUGGAAAUUAGGACGUGCAAAAAUCUCGCCCUGCAUCUCGCACGCCCGCACGGAGCGCCUCCCCCACGCAGCGCCGCCCGCCCGCCCGCACACACCNNNNNNNNNNNNNNNNNNNNNNNNNNNNNNNNNNNNNNNNNNNNNNNNNNNNNNNNNNNNNNNNNNNNNNNNNNNNNNNNNNNNNNNNNNNNNNNNNNNNNNNNNNNNNNNNNNNNNNNNNNNNNNNNNNNNNNNNNNNNNNNNNNNNNNNNNNNNNNNNNNNNNNNNNNNNNNNNNNNNNNNNNNNNNNNNNNNNNNNNNNNNNNNNNNNNNNNNNNNNNNNNNNNNNNNNNNNNNNNNNNNNNNNNNNNNNNNNNNNNNNNNNNNNNNNNNNNNNNNNNNNNNNNNNNNNNNNNNNNNNNNNNNNNNNNNNNNNNNNNNNNNNNNNNNNNNNNNNNNNNNNNNNNNNNNNNNNNNNNNNNNNNNNNNNNNNNNNNNNNNNNNNNNNNNNNNNNNNNNNNNNNNNNNNNNNNNNNNNNNNNNNNNNNNNNNNNNNNNNNNNNNNNNNNNNNNNNNNNNNNNNNNNNNNNNNNNNNNNNNNNNNNNNNNNNNNNNNNNNNNNNNNNNNNNNNNNNNNNNNNNNNNNNNNNNNNNNNNNNNNNNNNNNNNNNNNNNNNNNNNNNNNNNNNNNNNNNNNNNNNNNNNNNNNNNNNNNNNNNNNNNNNNNNNNNNNNNNNNNNNNNNNNNNNNNNNNNNNNNNNNNNNNNNNNNNNNNNNNNNNNNNNNNNNNNNNNNNNNNNNNNNNNNNNNNNNNNNNNNNNNNNNNNNNNNNNNNNNNNNNNNNNNNNNNNNNNNNNNNNNNNNNNNNNNNNNNNNNNNNNNNNNNNNNNNNNNNNNNNNNNNNNNNNNNNNNNNNNNNNNNNNNNNNNNNNNNNNNNNNNNNNNNNNNNNNNNNNNNNNNNNNNNNNNNNNNNNNNNNNNNNNNNNNNNNNNNNNNNNNNNNNNNNNNNNNNNNNNNNNNNNNNNNNNNNNNNNNNNNNNNNNNNNNNNNNNNNNNNNNNNNNNNNNNNNNNNNNNNNNNNNNNNNNNNNNNNNNNNNNNNNNNNNNNNNNNNNNNNNNNNNNNCCCCGCACAGCGCCGCCGCCAGCCAGCCCGCCUGCACGCACAGCGCCCCGCACAGCGCCACGAGCGUGGCUGCAUCGUGUUUAUUUGCACGACGAGUAGCCUCGUGGAUGGACGUGUAUAACUUCCACGCCCG